UGCAAAAUCCCUCCUUUCACCUAUAAAUACCAUCACCACCAUCCACACUCAAAAAACACCACACACUCUUCAAUACACAUUCCAUAACCACCACAACAACAAUGGCCAAGCUCACCAUACUAGUAGCCCUCGCCCUUUUCCUCCUCGCUGCCCACGCAUCUGCGAGGCAGCAGUGGGAACUACAAGGAGACAGAAGAUGCCAGAGCCAGCUCGAGAGGGCGAACCUUAGGCCCUGCGAGCAACAUCUCAUGCAGAAAAUCCAACGUGACGAGGAUUCAUAUGGACGGGACCCGUACAGCCCUAGUCAGGAUCCGUACAGCCCUAGUCAGGACCCGGACAGACGUGAUCCGUACAGCCCUAGUCCAUAUGAUCGGAGAGGCGCUGGAUCCUCUCAGCACCAAGAGAGGUGUUGCAAUGAGCUGAACGAGUUUGAGAACAACCAAAGGUGCAUGUGCGAGGCAUUGCAACAGAUAAUGGAGAACCAGAGCGAUAGGUUGCAGGGGAGGCAACAGGAGCAACAGUUCAAGAGGGAGCUCAGGAACUUGCCUCAACAGUGCGGCCUCAGGGCACCACAGCGUUGCGACUUGGAAGUCGAAAGUGGCGGCAGAGACAGAUACUAAACACCUAUCUCAAAAAAAGAAAAGAAAAGAAAAGAAAAUAGCUUAUAUAUAAGCUAUUAUCUAUGGUAAUGUUAGUUUUGGUAAUAAUAAAGAUCAUCACUAUAUGAAUGUGUUGAUCGUGUUAACUAAGGCAAGCUUAGGUUAUAUGAGCACCUUUAGAGUGCUUUUAUGGCGUUGUCUAUGUUUUGUUGCUGCAGAGUUGUAACCAUCUUGAAAUAAUAUAAAAAGAUCAUGUUUUGUUUUGGCGAGUAUAUUAUGUUUUAUUUCUCAUUUUGGUUUUUCUGAUUGAUGAUGAUUAGUUGAAUAAAAGGUAUUGAAGGUUUUUUUCCCCUAAACUUCAUCUAUUUAAAAAUUUAGAUCAAGUAAAAUUUUAAUUUUUUUAAAAAGUUAUAUUAUUUGGUGGAUAGGGUGUUUUCACGCUAAAAUUUUGAAUACAGGUGUUAGAGAAAAGAAUGACGCGAAGAGAGAUGGAUGUGCUUCUUUGUUAGAGACGCACUAGUCAAUUCAGGACAACAUUAUGUCAAUGUCACAUUAGGUNNNNNNNNNNNNNNNNNNNNNNNNNNNNNNNNNNNNNNNNNNNNNNNNNNNNNNNNNNNNNNNNNNNNNNNNNNNNNNNNNNNNNNNNNNNNNNNNNNNNNNNNNNNNNNNNNNNNNNNNNNNNNNNNNNNNNNNNNNNNNNNNNNNNNNNNNNNNNNNNNNNNNNNNNNNNNNNNNNNNNNNNNNNNNNNNNNNNNNNNNNNNNNNNNNNNNNNNNNNNNNNNNNNNNNNNNNNNNNNNNNNNNNNNNNNNNNNNNNNNNNNNNNNNNNNNNNNNNNNNNNNNNNNNNNNNNNNNNNNNNNNNNNNNNNNNNNNNNNNNNNNNNNNNNNNNNNNNNNNNNNNNNNNNNNNNNNNNNNNNNNNNNNNNNNNNNNNNNNNNNNNNNNNNNNNNNNNNNNNNNNNNNNNNNNNNNNNNNNNNNNNNNNNNNNNNNNNNNNNNNNNNNNNNNNNNNNNNNNNNNNNNNNNNNNNNNNNNNNNNNNNNNNNNNNNNNNNNNNNNNNNNNNNNNNNNNNNNNNNNNNNNNNNNNNNNNNNNNNNNNNNNNNNNNNNNNNNNNNNNNNNNNNNNNNNNNNNNNNNNNNNNNNNNNNNNNNNNNNNNNNNNNNNNNNNNNNNNNNNNNNNNNNNNNNNNNNNNNNNNNNNNNNNNNNNNNNNNNNNNNNAGUUGUUUUAACCGUUGAUUUCAAUUAAUGUAUAUUAUAUAUAUUUUUUUAUAAUUUAGAUUAAUGGUUAAAACAACUGGAACACCAAUAUUUUCGGUAUACUUAAAACUCUUCCUAUAACAUAAACUGUAACACUUUACCACACAGAGUCUUAUGUUUAAGUCAUAAAACAGAGGUGGUCAGGUAUUAUGACCUCUAAAAAUAAAAUUUAGUACAUAUAGUAUUGCAAAAAUAUUUAUAACUAGGAGCCUUUGAAGCUUCAAAGUGGGUAAAUCAAAACCGAUUAAAUCAAAAAGCGCAACACUCCGAUCGAUAACGUAAACGAAACAACGAUAGAAUGAGCUAACACGAUAAGAUAUACAAAAGAGUGCCAAUGAUACAUAUAUCAAGGCCCAUGAUUCGAUUUGCGAAGGUAAUCGGUCCGAACAUAUAAGGUAUACAUACAUAUAUAAGGAACUUCCCAAAAGACAACCCACAAGACAAAAUACAGAACCUGUUUUUUUCAAAAUACCCUCUAAGAAGAGUUAAUACAAAAUACAUAUACAGUAAAAAAUAUAGUAUCUAAACAAGUAUAAAAUAACCAAAAUAAAAUUCCAAAAUACAAAGAUUUCCGCCAAAAGAAAGUCUUCAGUAUACCUCAGUGAGGAGCCUCACGUCCUGCAUCUGAAAACCACAAAAUCCGCAUGAGUGAGAACCGGUGGUUCUCAGCAUGGUAACAGUACCCAAAUAUCUAACAUGUAAUGUCCUGGAAAAGUCGAAGGCAAUCCUAGAACUUCCAAAUUAUAAUCAAAGCGCAUAAACAUGAUAAGCCAUAAAAAAUGUAAAUAGGUGACUAACUUAAGAGUCUUCAAACUAACUAAACAUCCCCUUUCUAAAUCCUGCAAACCUCCCAACCGCCAAUAGUAACAGAUACAAACACAAGUAUAUCAAACAAAGAAAUGCACGAGUAGGAAACAGAUAAGACAAUUAAGCAAUUAGCAAGUAAUGAUGCAAUCAAUUAGGUAAUCCAGACAAUUCACAUAUAAUGCAUAUGAUGCAUGCUUAUCCUAGUGGUUGAUGAGUCUCAUCUGUUAGUUAUCUAUCCAACUCGACGUGUUCGAUAGCUAACCCGGCCACAGUCUCUCUAUUGCGCGUUAGUACCAUUAAAGGGAAUACGUGCCCUGUCACCGUUAGAGAGUAUAUGCGCCCUGUCACCAAUUUACCAUUAGAGGGUAUCUGCGUCCUGUUGCCAUUAGAGGGUAUCUGCGCCUUGUCGCCCUCACAACCAGAGAGAAAGCAUUACAAAUAUACUCACACCCAACCUCUCCAUUUGUUAUUCAUUUACCGUAUUCAAUCAUGAAUUACAUAUACAUUUAUCCUCAGCCAAACAUCAACACCUAUCUCAGCCAUCCGGCGUAAAUUCAUAAUUCAUUAACAGCCAUAACCCAGCAUCACACACAGUCAUUUGACUCAUAUCAUUCCCGGCCAUUCGGCCCAUACCAUACACAGUACUCCACCAUCUUCCUCCAAAAUUCAUAUCAUCAUUUUUCUUUAUAACCCAUCAUAACAUCCCCGUUCUUCAUCCAUAAGCUACCCUUUCCCCCAGCUUACUCACAUUCACUAGGUAUUCUAUAUCAAUUUAAGAUUUAAGGGAUGAAUUUGGGGGUUUAUAAGCGUGAAAUAACAUCUCGGAAGGUUACGAUCUUGUUGGGAAUGUGAAGAACUUGAAAACAAGAGUUUUAGAAAUGAACUGGGUCACGUGCGUACGCACAGGGGUGUGCGUGUGCACGCCCAAAAGCAUUUUUAAACGCGUGCCUGUGCGUACGCACAGAAAGCAAAAUCUUCAGGGUGAGGCGCGCGCACAACGUGUGCUAGCAUCGCCACCAGUGUGCCAUUUCCAACGUGUGCGUGCGCACAGACCGGUGCAUGCGCACAGACCGGUGCGUACGCACAGCUCGAAAUUCUUCGAUGGUUGUGUGUGCGCACAGGGCAUGCUAGCGCUACCACCAGCAGCCCUGUCUCCGUGUGUGCGUACGCACAAGGCUGUGCGUGCGUACAAGACCAAAUCCUCGCAGUGUGCGUGCGCACACAAACCAGAAAUCAUAAAUUCUACAGAAGUUGCAGAACUCAGUUUUCUGGCCCAAACUUCCAGCGAUCAUAUCUCCUUCCACAAAAUUCAUAUUUCCACCAAAUUUAAACCAUUUUAAAGCUUAUAAAGUUAUUUUUCAUUUGAUAUAAAAAUCAUCAAAUUUCGAAAACAAUAGCUCAAGAUAUGAUCCGUGGAAGUUCAUCAAAUUUUCAUUUUCAUCAAAAACUCAUAAACUCCUAAUUUUAAAACAUACACUUAUCAAACUCAUUCAAAACCCAUCAAAACUCAUUCUUCCAACAUCAAUCAUUGCCAAUGACUCAUACAAUCAUCAACCCACCAAUUCUACCAUAUUUAUCCAAAUCUCAAUUUAACAAAUCUCAUAUCACAAUCAACAUUUCAUAUCUCAAUCCCCCAAUAAAUAUUCAAUUCAUCAAUCACCAUAUAUAUAAAUAUAUAUACACAUAUCAUCAUCACAUUUCAAAUCAUGCUCAUCAUCAAGAGCCCCAACUUUAUCAUCAAUCCAACAUAUUAAAUCCACAUAACAUACAACAAUACAUGCUUUAUCAACCAUACAACCACUCACAAUCAUGUCCAUAAUCAUUCAUACAUUUCUAAUUCAAUCCAAAGUAACCAACAACCACAUCAACAAUUCCAAAGUCCUAUCCUAGGUUCACUAGCCAACGUUUUCACACCACAUUACAUUUUAAAUACAGGAAACCGAAGCCAUACCUUGGCCGAUUUUCGUUCCACCCGGAACCCUCUCAAAUUCACUUUUUCUCAACUUCCAAUGCCUUAAUACUUCACCAACAGAUUUCUAGGCACAAGCUCCACUCCAAGGCUUGUCAAAAUCACUAAUCAAGCUCCAAUAUACAUAUAUACAAAGCCUAAACCACAAUAUCACACCCAAACACAAUAACUCAAUACCCAACACCUCAAAUUCAACAUAUUCACUUGGGUUAGAGAAUCUUACCUUACCCAAUGACCAAGAAAGCUAGAGAAAGCCUUCUCUUCAAGUUAAUUUGAGCCUACAACAUCCAAAUUCAAAAAUCUCAACACUUUACCCACAAAUUUUUGAAAAUGAGAACUGAGAAUUCGAAGAACAAACUGUGGCUUACCUCAAGAUUGCUUAUGUGAGUUUUUUAGAGCUCGAUGCCGCGAUCGCGUGGCUGUAAACAGUGCGUCAAUCGGAGCUCCAGAUCAAAAGAUAUGAUCAAUUGAAGUUGGAGCAAGGGUUUGUGUUUUCCUCCCCCUUUCCCCUCUCAAUCUCAGCGUGAAUGUGUUCUUGAGGGAGGGAGAGAGCUGAGCUUCAUUAAUUAAAUGAAGCUUGGCUGGGUCAUGGGCCCAACUUGGGUCCGGUUAGUUCAGUUUGGUCUGUUCGGCCCAAUCUUGAGCCGAUUUCUUUAAAAUUAGUGUCGAAAUUCUCGUUUUAAUUUUAUCUAUCACAUUAAAUCAUAAAAAUCGCAUUUCUCACUUUCUAAAAUAUAUUUUAAUUUAUUGGUUAAUUAGCCAUUAAUUAACUGAAUUUUUCAUAAACAAAUUUAAAUCAAUUGUUUGUGGUUAGAAUUUUACCAUAUCUUUUCAAUUUUAAUGGAUAAUUUAUCUCUUAUUAUAUAUCAUAACAUUAGUGGUUGAAUAAUUAAAUUGGUUUGUCAUGAUUAAAUUUAAUUUUUUAUUUAAUUUAAAUUUUAUUAAAUUAACUAUAACUAACUAUGGUAUAUUUUUUUUUUGUAAUUUAUAAAAAGAUUUAUGCUAUGUGUACACUAAAAUUAGCCAUCAAAGUCAGCCACCAAUAUAAAAUACAUGUUAAAAUACAAAUACACAUUAAAAAUAAAUUAAACCACAUAUAUAUUUAUACACAAAUACAUUGAUAGUUAAUUUUAGUAGCUGAUUUUAGUGUACAAAUAACAUUUUUCUUAUAAAAAUCAUUAAAAAAUUCUCACUUUGUAAUUUAUUUUUUCUCAAACCACAUAUUUAUUAAUAAUUUCAAACAAAAAAUCUCAAAAAAANNNNNNNNNNNNNNNNNNNNNNNNNNNNNNNNNNNNNNNNNNNNNNNNNNNNNNNNNNNNNNNNNNNNNNNNNNNNNNNNNNNNNNNNNNNNNNNNNNNNNNNNNNNNNNNNNNNNNNNNNNNNNNNNNNNNNNNNNNNNNNNNNNNNNNNNNNNNNNNNNNNNNNNNNNNNNNNNNNNNNNNNNNNNNNNNNNNNNNNNNNNNNNNNNNNNNNNNNNNNNNNNNNNNNNNNNNNNNNNNNNNNNNNNNNNNNNNNNNNNNNNNNNNNNNNNNNNNNNNNNNNNNNNNNNNNNNNNNNNNNNNNNNNNNNNNNNNNNNNNNNNNNNNNNNNNNNNNNNNNNNNNNNNNNNNNNNNNNNNNNNNNNNNNNNNNNNNAUUUUAUCUUACUUCUUUCGUAUUAUUAAAAAAAAUUCAUUUUUCAUACAAAAACAAUUUGAAAAAAAAAAAAGCAAUUAAACUCAGGGUUGUUGAGAACAAGAAAAAAAAAGAGGGAAAAAAAGAACUAUGCAAUCUGCACCAAAUUUGACGAAUUUUAAGGGAGUUUAUUUUAAAAAUAUGUUAUUUUCUCAAAAAAUUCUAUAAUUUUACGUACUUGUAUAUAUCUCAAUUUAUUUAUUCAAUAAAUUCAUUUAACAUACUCUAAUUGAACUGUAAUUAAAAAUAAAUUUUAUUGUAAUAAAAGUUUNNNNNNUUGUUAGUGGCAAUUUCAUGCAUUUCUGGCGAGAAGGGAAACGAUUUUUCCGGUAGCAGCAUGGAGAUGGUGGCAUCAAUAUUUGAUGGUGUUAAGGAAUAUAACGGAUGAUGUAGUUUUUUCCUUCUAUUAAUAAUAACUCAUAAACAGAAUAGCCAAUGAGUUAUAACUCAAAUGACAUAGUCUUUUCAUACUCAAUUAAGAGGUUACGGGUUCGAGUCUUUUAUCUUUAGUAAAAAAAAAAAAAAAACUCAUAUUGCAUUCCAAUGUUUUUUUAUUUUUUUAAUAUUUUUGUUUAAGACAUAAAAAUAGGAAAGAAGAGAGAAGUUGAAGAUGUCUCUUUAAUGGGCCAUGGACAUUUUGUUUUAAUUAAUCAAUUACAAUUUUUGUUUUACAUACAUGUGUGCUUUUAGCGAGUGGGUUGUCAAAUUUGUGAAAAAUAAAAGAGUCAACGCCAAUUUAAAAAAAAAUAAAAUAAUAAAUAUUUAUUUUGAUUUUUGAUAAUUUAUUUGAAUAAUAAAAUAUUUUUUAUAAUUUCAAAAUUUUAAAUUAAUUUUUAAUUAUUUAAAUAACUAACAAUUUGAAAGUCGCUAACUGAUCUCUACCUAUUUUAAUGUUGAUCUAAUUGAUUUUCAAUCGUUCAAGUAAUUGAUCCAAAUGAUCUUUGUAAACAAUAACUUAAAUCAAUAUAAAAAAUUAUUUAAACUAAUUAUUUAAUUAUUUAGAUAAGAGAUUGAUUAAAAAAUUUUAAAUUUGAAAAAAUUAUUUAUCGUUCAAGCAAAUAUUUAAAGAACAAAAAGAAUAUUUACUCAAUAAAAAAUAAAUAAGUUUUGAAAACAAAAUAGACGAUUAAUAUAUUGAAGUAAGGCUAAUUCUAUAUACUUAUUAUUUAAUGUUUAAAUUUUGUCUACUUUAUUUUUUAUAAUAAAUUUUAAAUAUUUAAAAUUUACUAAAAAAAUUAGACAACAAAUAUUAGAUGCCAUAGAAUUGGCCUUAUAAUUAAUAUGUGACAUUAGAGUGGCGGCAGAUGCUAGACUCAAAAAUAAUAAUCUGUGCCAAAACAAACUAGUAGGAAGUAGCUUAUAUUAUGAGCUAUUAUGUAUGCUUGUUUCGUUAAUAAUAAAUAUCAUCACUGUAUGAAUGUGGUGAUAGGUAAGGUUAUAUGAGCACCUUCGGUGUGCUCUUAUGGCUUUACCUAUGUUUUGCUACUGCAAAGUUUUAACCACCAUGAAAUAAAAGAUCUUCAAGUAUAUUAUGUUUUAAUUUCUUUGACAUUAAUGAAAAUCAAACUCUUCUAAUUUUUUUUAAAUAAAUUUUUUGAUACUAUGACAUUUAAACAGAACAAAAAUAUUUAGUAAACAAAAAAUAUUAAUAAAAAAUGAUUAAAAAUUAUUAUUUUUAGUUUUAUUUAAUACAUUUUAUAAUAAAUAAAUAUUAAAUAAGACAUAUUUAAAUUAUUUAGGUAGAUUAUUUUUUGUUUUCUAAUAUUACCAUAAACAGAACUGCGUAUAUAAAUAGUUAUACGGUUAAUUUAUAUUUGUAAUAAAGCUGAUCCGGACAAUGAUACCAUUAAAAGAAAAUGUAGUUAGCUUAUUAAGCAGAGAUUAGACGGACAAUGAUAUCAUUAAAAGAAAAUAUAGUUAGGUUAUUAAGCAGAGAUUAGACUGUUGUAGGCGAGGGACUGUAAUGGUAUUGAAAAUUGAUUUACUGUAAUAAGAGAAAUAAGAAUAUAAGAGAAAAAGAAAUAGAUAGAAAAGAGAAUGAUUAAGGAAGAAGAAGAGAUCAGAUGUCUAGAUAGACAUUUCAUAAUUUACACAUAUUCACUAUUAUUAUUACUANNNNNNNNNNNNNNNNNNNNNNNNNNNNNNNNNNNNNNNNNNNNNNNNNNNNNNNNNNNNNNNNNNNNNNNNNNNNNNNGAUUUUUGAAUUGUCUAAGAGUGGCUAUUCAUCAGUCAUCAAUGUUGGGUUUACUUUUUGAGAUAGGACCUAUCUCUUUGUAUUUGUGUUAGACAUGUGAGUAGUAGGUAACUUAAAAGAUACCUUACUAAAAUUCUAUUUGUUUAAAAAAAUACCUGACCCAUCAUGUGUUUAAAAUAAUUUUCUUUACAAGUUGGUCCAAAUUUUAACCAACAUUUGACAUAUGUAUAGUAAGGGUUUAAUUUCUAAAGAUGGGUUUUCACUUCCUCAUUAUUCUCCUUUAUGAAGAGAAAAGACAUCAAGUCAAAGGAUUCAUCAAUCACCUCUAAAUUUGUCUGUAUCAUUGUUAUUUAUAGGCUUUUGUCUUAGGUUUACACAUAUACACAGUGAAAAAUCACAUAUUAUAUAGAAUAAACACCAAAACAACAAAAAAAAAAAAUCACAAAACAUAAUUUUUAAUUUUUCUGUAUCUCUAUAUAUUUUCAAUAUAGAUGAGAAUAAAUACUUAUGUUUUGUCUUAUCUUGUUGCUCGAUCCAUCAAAAUUCAAAAGACUAGAGUUAUUUACGAAUUAGAUUGGUUUGGAUUUAAGAAAAAAAAUCAAACUGAUUAAAUUUAAUUAGUUCGAGUUGGUUCGAAUUUAAUUUUUUUUAAGUAAAUCCAAAUCAAUUUGGACAGAUUAGAUUUGAAUUGAAUUAGUUUAGAUGAUUAGGUAUCUGAUUGAAACUCGAUCCAUCAAAAGACUAGAGUUAUUUACGAAUUAGAUUGGUUUGGAUUUAAGAAAAAAAAUCAAACUGAUUAAAUUUAAUUAGUUCGAGGUUCGAGUUGUUUAAUUUUUUUUAAGUAAAUCCAAAUCAAUUUGGACAGAUUAGAUUUGAAUUGAAUUAGUUUAGAUGAUUAGGUAUCUGAUUGAAACAAAAGAUGAGGAGGAGGAAGAUGAAGAGUUUUGAAUUAUGCAGAACUUAUCAGAAUAAAGAUGCAUUGAAAUUUAUUAACAAAAAUACAUAAAUUUCUUAGUUUUUAUACCGAAACUUUGCUACAAAAGCACAAAAAUAUCUUCUUUAAUGUUGUAUUUUUUUCUUCUUUUUUUCUUAUUUCUUUCUUUCUUUUAGUUGAAUGAAUGUAGGUUUAUCCCCUUCCUAGUAAUUUUGCAGCAUUAUGUGUUUCUUCUUCUUUGUUUGAUAUUUUUUUUUGUUUUUAUUUUUGUUAAAAGAGUAAAACAAGAAGAAAUUUGAGAAGGUAAAACAAGAAAGAAAAGAUUAAUAAAAAAAAGACGAUGAUGAAAAUGAAGAAGAAGCAGCAGAAGAUGAGGAGGAAGAAGAGAAAGAGUUGUGAAUUAUACAGAACUUAUCAGAAGAAAAAUACACUGAAAUUUCUUAACAAAUACACAUAAAUUUCUUAGUUUUUAUACCGACACUUUGCUACAAAAGCACAAAAAUGUGCAACAUCUCAUUAGUAAAUUAAUGUGCAGGAAUAAUCGGAUAAAUUGUGUGCUUUUUGGUCGGGUUAUAGAUAAUAUUAUGCCUCACCUUGAAGAAGAAAGGGUUGGACCCCUCAUCGUUGUGCUGAGUUUUGAAUUAUGCAGAACUUAUCAGAAUAAAAAUAACACCAAAAUUUCUUAACAAAUACGCAUAAAUUUCUUAAUUUUUACACCGAAAUUACUUAAUAUGAUUGCAAUAUGCAAACUCAGUUUAAAAACAAGAAUACAAACAAGACUGAAUCAUGAACAAAAACAUAUCCAAAUUAAUUUUGGAUCAGGCAACGUCAUUAAUAUGACAAAAAUUCAACAAUAAUGAUAAUAAUAACGAUAAAAAAAGAUGACGAUAAUAAUAAUAAUAAUGAUAAUGAUGAUAAUGAUGAUGAAGAUAAACGAUUAUAACAACUUGGUUAAGUAUUUUGUUUAGAUAUAAAAUUUUAUUCUUUUGGAUGUAUAAUCAAAUUAUCCGUACCAUAAACACCUGUACAAAAAACCGCUAGCGCUGCAUCAUAUGUUAAUUGAUAUAUUAAAUUUACUAUAUUCUAUCUUUUUCUGUACGUGCAUAUUGUAACACCCUACCACACUUAAUCUUAUGCUUAAGUCAUAAGACUGAGAUAAUAGGUAUUACGAUCUCUAAAAUUAAAAAUAUACAUAUAAUAAUAGUGAAAGAAAUAUUUAACUAGGAGCCUUGAAAAAUGGAUAAAACAAAAUCGCAAAAAUAAAAGCGCAACGCUCAGGAAAUGAGAUAACUUGCGUGCUAAGAAAUCUAAAGAUAAUAAGUAUAAAUAGACAGAAAAUGAGAAUAGAGAGUCAAGGAUACAAAAUAACUAACUCCUAACUCAGCCUGCGAAGUCAAGGCUGACCGGAGAAUAUUUACAUACAUAUAUACAUAUCCCAAAAACCCCUGAUACAUAGGUAAAGUCCUAGCUCUCCUUUAACCUCUAAGAGGAACAAAAUAAACAAGUUUCUUGGAGAUAAAGCUAAGUACAUAUAUACAUAAGAUACAUAACAAAAGAACCCAGAAACUGCUCCGCUUCAGGAGUCCAGACGCCUAGCGAGGUGCCUCUCGACCUGCAUCUGAAAAAUAACAAUACAAUAUGGGGUGAGAACCGGAGGUUCUCAACAUGGUAAAUGUAACAUCUAGCAUUUUUUGAAAAUCUAAAUAUAAAUGAAUUGUGAUAUUAUCUUAUCAAGUUUAAAAUUUAUAAUUUUAGAAAUUAUUUUGUUAGAAAUAAUUAAAUAGAUUGGAGAUAAUUUUAUUUUGAAUUAAUUAAUAUUCUUAAGUGAUAUUGAUUGAUUAUGUGGAUUGUGAAUUGUUUGAUGACCAAUUGUUGAGAAUUUCUAAAUUUUGAUGAUUAUAUUGGAUUGUUGUCGUUGAGCUGGUUAUUGAUGUAUUGUGAUGGCGAUGAAUUUAGUUGGUAGUUGAUUUGGAAUUAAUUUUGAGAAGUAUUAAAGGGAUUGAAUUUUGAAAUACUAAACUACUUGUUGAAAAUAUGAAGUUUUGAAAUGAAGCGGCAACUUUGAAAGUGAACCGGCAUCUUAAUAGUGAUUGGAAUGAUAUGAGACUAAAAGCUAAGCGAACUACAAUAAGUAUAGUUAUUAAUAUUCAAUUUUAAAGGUUUCGUAUUAACUAGAGAAUUAGUUAUGAUAUUUCAAAGUUGAAUUAUGAAAUUUGAUUUUCUACAUUACUUUUAAACGAAGUCAGAAACUUUGAAAAGCUAUAACUAAUUUUGUGAUGAUCGGAAUUGCAUGGGACCAAGUCUGGAUUAAACUUAGGAAUAUAGGGAAUUGGACUGAAAAAUUUGAGGCAUUUUUGUUAAAUGUACAAUUUAUGGUGAAUUUUUAGAUUUAAGUUGAUAAAUCUGUCCUGCAGCAGAGAAGUUCAAAUAGGGCAGCAACUUGUUUGUCUUGCUGCGACUCCUACGAGUUGAGUUUUGGAGCAAAACUAAUAUUGUUUUAAAAUUUGUUUAACUUGGUUUAUUUCUCUAAAAUUUCAAAAUUUUAGGAGUUAAGAAUUGGGAGUUGUGAAUUUUUGAAAACUGGUGAUCAAAGCCGGAAAGAAUCAGUUUUCAGCAAGUUAUGCAUCAACUUCUAAUGCUUGUUGAUGAUAAUCAGUGGCUAAGAGAAGGGGGUUGAAUCUUAGCCCUCUUUUUCUGAAUGUUACUUUCUGCUUUUUAGAAUAGCUCCAGGAGAUAUUCUGCUUUUUGUCUCAUAACUGGUCAAGAGAUAUUUUCUUUUUGGCUCGUAACCGGUUAGGAGAUAUUUUUCAAUUUUAUCUCCCACGAACAGAAACAGUAAAUGAGUAGAAGAGAAAGAGAGAAUCACACCCAAAAGUAUCCUGGUUCAGCUACUAAGUGCAAUGCAGCCUACAUCCAGUCUCCAUCACAAUAGUGACAGAAUUUCACUAUAAUCAACUUGAUUACAGACACUAAUUCUUCCCUAGGAACUACCCAUUCCUAUCCGGGACAAGUCCAGAAUCUAUCCCUAAAACUGAACUUGACUUGGUCACCUACCAAGCUUUCGACUGAAAAGUGCUAACCCAACUUGCAAGGGAACAAGUCAAGAUUCUACCCCAACCCAAACUUGACUAGACCUCAAUCUAGCUUUCAACCGCAAAGUGCUAACCCAACUUGUAAGGGAAUCUCCUCAGGAUCAUGACAACAAAACAGAAAUACAUACAAAGAAUUUUUGAUAUAAUAAUGAUUUUUUCUUUAACUCUGCCUUUUUUUCACUCAUUGGCUUUUUCUUACAAAAUCUCACAUUUUGCCUUUUACCAAUGAAACACAGACAGACUCACUGAGGAAAAGAAAUAUUCAAUGAAAGCCAUGAAGGAGAAGAAUAAAUAGUUCAAAGAGCUAUGGGAACCCGAACGUAUGCUCUCACUCCUUGUCUCAAGCCUUGGCUGCUCACCCUUAUUAUAGAAGGGGAAGCCUCCAAGGUUGAAACGGUUCAAUCGAGCUAACUUCUUCUUCUUCAACACCAAAACCGGUUCGAACAGAGAGAAGAGAGAGGGAACCGAAAGCUAAAACCAACAUGCAAUUACCUCUCUCUCAUCCCUUUUCUUCAAGCUUCAUCAAUCUGAGCCUUCCAUCUUGACUUGGUCCCCAAGAAGGAUUUCUGACCCUUGAUGAACUCUUGAUCCUUGACAGCUCCAUCUGCUCCACUUUUGCUUCCUCCUCCACAUAGCUAUAGUAGCCACCUUCUGUGAUGGAUGAACAAAAAGUAGAAAUGAGCCAUACCACAGGGAUCUUCUUCUCUGACCGAAAUGGAUUGCUACCACUUUUGGCAUGGAGAUCUUGAAACUUCUUCACCACAUCUUGCCAUUAGUAGAAAAGAUCUCAGCCACGCCAUGCUUUGGAUCUUCCUUUUUUGCAAAGGCCAUUAUCCUAGCCUUUUGCUUCUUCCAGCUUCUCUGUAAUUUCUCUGAUAACUUCUUCUUCUUCUUUCUUCCAUCUUCUUUUUUGAUGGAUGUGACAAAUAAAACAAGAGAGAGAAGAGAGAGUAGAAACAAAGCAUUGAUUGUUAGAUUAAAUGAAAUUGAAAUCCUACUAACAAUCCCAAUGCAUAAAGUAACGUGUGGAGCAAUUAAUGCCAUCAAAUCAAUUUUAAUUUUUUCUCUCCUAUUACCAAUGCAUGCAAUAAAAUCAAGUUAAUAAAUUUUGAAUUCCAUAAGCCAUGGAGGAAUGUAACCGUGGAAAGCAUGCACUCAAUUUGAAUUUGGAUCUCACCAAAGUAAAUGGGUAAUAGAAACCUCAUGCUCCAUUUCCUUUUUCUUUUGAUUUUGGACCAAGUCUUGUUGGUCACCUAACAAAAAUUAAUUUGGGCUACUCACAUGAUACAUGGCCCAAAUUACCUUUGCAAAAUAAUUCAGCCAUACUCUUAGAAAUCUUUUUGCACAUUGGCUGAAUAUUUUUUCAUUAUUUUGGACUAUGUUGUUUUUAGCCCAAAUAAACAAAUCAAAGCAUGUGAGAGAGUGAACAUUUUUGUGAUCACCGUAUGGAGCCUUUGGUCACUUAAAGAGAUUGCAUUAAGAUCAUUGAAUGGCUUCUUCCAAGGCUUUGGGUCACUUGUUUCUGUCUUUAAUUUAUGAUGGGUUUUGAUGGAUUUGGGCCUCCUUGGAUUUCUUUCUUUCUUUAAACAAUCAGCUACUAACAUUUGAAUUAUUUUUGCUCAAAGCUAAAUUUGUUCAAAGAUCAAUUUGGGCUUGUGUAACUUUGACCCAAUAGAAAUUAAAUUGCUUGCUUGCACACUUGAACACAAAUCAUCAAACAACCUAUUGGAAAUUAUUAAAUAAAACACUUAAUAAUAAUUUUAAUAAUUUCUUAAUUUAUAUUUUAAUAAUGUUUGAUCAUCAUUUCAGUUUUUCAAACUUAACAAUCUCCCUCUUGAUGACAAACAUUAUUAAAUUGAAUUGAAAGAGUUAGGAUAGAUAACUUCCCUUUGAAGAUUUGCCAAAAUCUCCCCCUUUCUUUUGUUCAAUGUGCUCCCCCUUAAUGUGUGCUUGAUUAAUAAAAUAUUUAAGAAAGCCAUCACCUGUAUACAAGCUCUAAAGAGUUCCAAGAAGAUACAGAUUUCAAAACAUAGAACCUUUAAGAUCGAGCCAUUAUUUUCACAACAUGAUCCAGAUAGCACAUGUAUGUAUACUUAAGCAAAUAAAUUUUUCAAAAUAUAAUUAGAGCUCAAGUUGAAAUUCUCUAACACAGAGUGCUCAAAACAAUGAGCCAAAAUAGAGCACAAAUAUGAAACAAAAUGCUCAUGUCCAAACAGGACAGCAACGAAAUAGUUUCAAUUCAGCAAUUUAGCUCUUCUUUCAUUUUUCUUCCCCUUUUGUCAUUAAAGAGGGACAUAUCAUAUGUCAAAAGUUUGCAAGGAUCUUAUCAAUUUCCAAAAACCAUCAGCCAGCCUUGAAAGAAGCAUGAAUCAGAGCUAAACCAAGCAUUAAUUAAAUACUAUUUAUUCACAGGCUCAUAUGCUAAGCUAUAAACAAUAUUCACAACCAGAUGAAACUGCAGAUUUUUAAAUACAAAUUCAAAUAAUAAACAGCAGCUCAAACAUCAUCAUAGAUAAAAACAAACAGCAGCAACAAUAGCUUCAAACAUUAUUAUCAUAGAUAAAAACAAACAGCAGCCUUUUAAUUCAUUUUUCUUUCUCCUCCUGCAUGGAAAAAUAGUUCACCAUAUAUACAAAAAGUGUAGAGUAGGUAAAAAUGUAAAAUCCAAGUUACAGUCACCCAACAGAAUUCAACAGCUGAGAUCCAAAAAUAGAACCAAAAUUAUGAUAAACUAAUGUUUCAGAAAAAGUUUUUCAGAAGCAACAUCAUGGAGCAGUCUUAAAAAAAAAGAAAACUCAAAUACCAAAAUAAAAAAAAAAACUAUAAUAAGUAUAAGCAAUAUUCACAACCAGACCAAUAUGCAUAUUCAUAGCUGCGUGAAAUAAUAGUGAAAACCCAAGAAAAUUGCAACCAAUCUCAAGCAUCAUAAGUUCAACUGUUUCACUAUAGCUGUUUCAAUUUAUUUUCACACAAUACUUACUCCCCCUGUUGUUAUUGAGAAUAGUAAAUCUGCACACAAAAACAGUUCAAUAUGUAAUCCACAAGUGCAAAACAGGUAUGAGUGUAAGUGUCAACAGAAGUUGUAAAAUUUAUCAUAAAAAAAAAACUAUAAGAAAUUAGCUGCAUCAAAUCGGACUAGACAUCAGAUCCCUCAUCCUUGGUUGUAGGAGGAUCUUCCUCUUCUUUCAAAAUUGUGUCCUUGGCUGCCUUUGUGCCCUUUUUCUUAGAUUUCUUUACAGCACCACUACCUUUAAGAUUUAAAAUUUUGUCUUGGGUUUCAUUACUCAGAUCGACACCACAAUACUCAAAAAUACAAGUUAAAAACAUUCUAUAAGUAAGAAAAAUGGGAGUAGUGGAGAAGAUGAGAAGGUAUCAUAAUAAAUGCUUUAAAUGUUCAAAAAUCUUUUGAAAACCCAAACCAAUUCAAUAAAACGAGAUUUAAAGAAUUUUGAAUUUUAAAAACAAUACACGCAGUUUUGAAAUGACAAGUCAAAUAAAAGAUUGAAAAGAUUUUGAAACUAAUUUGACUUGAAAAAUGAUGAAUGUAAAUACUCUCAUUUUUGGUGUAUGUGAUCAAAACAAGUAAUGAGACCCACUACAUAAAAUAAAACAACUUUCUCUUGGACUUAGUAGUGGUUUUAAGGAAACACAUUUGACCACCAAAGAUUUAUUUCAGAUCCAAAUUCAUUUAAAAUUAUCAACACAUAGUCUGAACUUCAUGGAACCUAGAGGGAGUCAUCAUCUGCUCAGUUUUAUCUUCUUGUAGCCUGAGAGACAAAAACAACCAAAAAAAUCUUUAAGCACAUUUAAUUAAAAAAAACUCAACAAUGAACAGUCCCUAGAGUAGUUCUCAAUUUCACAAAUUGAAUGUCAAUUGUUCCCUUAAGCACAUGUUCUUUUAUGGAAUAGAAUCUUACUUUAAUGUGCUUAGUUCUUGAGUGUAAAACAUGAUUUUUUUUAAAAAGAUUUAUUGCACUCAAGUUGUCACAAAACAUAGGGAUACUAUUGACUUACAAUUUGUAAUGUGCAAGAUAUAUUUUAAACCAAGUCAAUUGAGAACAAGAGGAAGUUGAGAUAUAUAUUUAGCCUCAGCCGUUGACAGAGCAACAGUAGCUUGCUUCUUUCUUGUCCACAUAUGGAUUUUCCAAGACAACAAAAAAUUUCUGAAUUGCUGCUCCUGUUCACACGAUCUCAGCAAGAUCUUAAAUUGGACCAGUUCUUCCUCAUUUGCUUUUAUUCAAGAGGGAUCUUCAAUUAUUUUCUUUAUUUUGGGAGUUCCAUUUGUGAUGCAAGAGCGAAGUUAUUGAGUUUGCCUCUUUUUCUUCUUGAGAAUCUUGUGGUAACUCCAUGAGAGGGAUCUCCAAUGAUAAAUUCAUGUGGAUAGUUCUUCAAGAACUUCUAUUCUCUUGGCUUUUAUGAGGUGAUCUCAAGUUGAGUAUGAACAUGAUCAGUUCCAUUGAGAUUUUCAGAAAUCUCUAUGUCAGGAGGAGACAAAACAGAAUCGUCUCCUAGAUUCUGGUUUGCAGAAUUGUGAACAGCAUCUUCCAUUGAAGGUUCAGAUUUGUCUUUUCCUUGAAUUCUUCUAAAUUUUGUGCAAUCUUAGUUCCUGCAUCAAUUUUCUCAACAACACUUGAAAUAGAGUUAGAAUAAUAAGAAAAUGAUAUGUAUGAACUCCCCAAUUAUUCCAUGUUUAUUGAUGUAAACUCUAUAAGCUUUACUAGUAGUUGAAUAUCCAACAAAGAUACCUUCAUAAGAUUUUUGGAUUAAAUUUUUUAAAAAUAUCUUUAGUGUUUAACACAAAGUAUUUGCAUCCAAAAGUAUGAAAGUACUUAAGAUUGGAUGGUACUCCUUUUCAAAGCUCAUAUGGGUUUUCUUUAAAACUUUUCUAAUGAUGAUUUGGUUCAAAAUAUAGCUUCAAUCCAAAAGAAUUUUAGUAUUUCAUUUUCACCAAAACAUAGCCCUAGUCAUUUCUUGAAGGCCUCUAUUUCUCCUUUCAACAACUCUAUUUUAUUGAGGUAUGCUAGGACAUGAAAAAUUAUAUGAAAUACCAAAUUCAUCAAAGUGUUGUUUUCCAAACUCAUUUUCAUGAUCACUUCUUAAGAAAAUAGUUUUCAUUUUGAAUCUUUUUGCAUAGAGUUAAGACAGCAAGAAAAACAUCAUUCUUAUGAGCUAAGAAAAAGAAUUCAUCCAAACUUAGUAUAGUCAUCAAACACCACUAAGCUAUAGUGCUUACCAGCAAGACUUUGAAUCCUUGUAGGACCAAAAAGAUCAAUGUGUAGCAUUUUUAAAGUUCUUUUGGUUGAGAUGUCAUCCUUGGGUUUGAAAAAUUUUUUUUUGUUUAUUUACCCAAUUAACAAGCAUCACAAGUGGUGUCAUUGUCAAAUUUUAUUUUUAGGAAGAUAUCUAACCAAAUUCUUUUUCCCAAGCUUAGAAACUAGAAACAUGCUUGUAUGUUCUAUUUUCUUAUGCCAUAACUAUUUCUUAGAUUCUGUGGAAAUAAAACAAGCUACAUUUUAUUCUAUUAGUUCCUCUAAGGUUAGUCCAUACACAUUAUCGCAUCUUAUAACUUCAAACAAAAUUUCACCAAAUUUUUCACACACAACUAAGCAUUUCAAUUUCUUGAAAAUAGUCAAACAACAUAAAUCACACAAUUUUCUCAUGCCUAGAAGAUUGUGUUUCAACCAAUCAACUCAAAAUACAACAUCAAUGAAAGUUGAGAAAUUCUUACUAACCUUACCUACGGCCAAAUUUUUUCAUUUACCAUUGUCACCGAAAGUCACAAAGCUUCCAUCAAAUUCAUCAAAGAAAGUGGAUUUUUCGGUCAUGUGCCUAGAGCAUCUCCUAUUCAUGUAUCACAUGUCUUUCUUUUUCUUGGAUGCUAAGCAAAACUGCACAAAUCUUUUAAGUGACCUUAGGUAUCCAAACUAAUUUGGAUCCUUUGAAGUUAACCCUUCUUGGUUGUCCAAGAGCAUUAAAAUCACAGACAACCUUGUAUAUUUUGUUUCCUACUCUUCUUUUGUCAAUAAAGCAUUAAUAAGAAGAGUGACCAGAUUUAUUGCAAUUAAAACAGUGAUUUGUGUGAGCAUGUUGCUGAAAACACUUUAAGAUAUGAUGCUGAUGGUGAUCAAAAGAUUUGAAUUUUUUGGUAUUUGAAAGGGUGCAUUUCUUUUGAAAGAUCCAUCUCUAACAUUAGUACCUCCUUUUGCCAGAAAUCUUAAACCAGAAUUUCUUGACACAGACGGGUAUCUAGAACGUGAGACUCUUUUGUGAAAGAAAAAUUUUCUAAAAACGUCCUCAUUGUUAGAGAUGUAACCCAGACUAGAGUUUAUUUGAAGCAGGUUCAGGUUUUGAAUAAGAUGCAUUUUUAUAAAAAUAUGGCUUUUCAAAAUCAGCAUUAAUGUUAGAUGAAUAUCCAAGACCAGAUUUAUCAAAAGAUGAUUUUAUUUUUGAAGAUGAUGCUGUGAAUUUGCAAGUGAUUUUUUUUAAAUGCAUCUUUUUUUAUUACAUACCCUAAACCUGAUUUUUCAAACAAAGUUCUUUGAUUAGCAAGUAAUUUGUCUAAGUUGCUUGAGUUAUGUGCAAAUUUUGCUAAAUCAUGAUUCAAUCAUUUGAUCAUUUAAUCUUUUAUUUUCAGCAACAGAUUUUUGAGAGAGAUCAAUAAUGCGCUUUCCAUUGAAAAUUUUCAUAUUUAAAAAAAUCUAUUUUCUUUAAUAAAAUCAAAAGCACAUUUGAUCUCCUUCACCCUUUUCUUUUAAAAACUCAUUUUCAGCAUUCAAAACUUCAUUUUCAGAUUUACAUUUGUUGUAUCUAUUUAUCAAUAUUUCAGAAAGGUGAGAGAGAUCAUCAAUAGUCACAUGCAAAUCAUCAAGAGAUAAGUCAUAGAAAUUUACCUCUUCUUGUUGAUCUUCAUCAAUCAUGAAACAGAUUUGUGCUCUAUCUUCGGAGUCCUCUUCCUUAUCUGAGUCAAUCUUGAGAUCCUCCCAAGAAGCCAUAAGUCCUUUCCUUUUUGGUUCCUUUGAGUUGCCACCUCUGCUUCUUCCUUUGAGUUUCAUCAUCCUUCUAAGUUUUCUAGCAAAACAUGCAAACUCGUAAUCUUAUAAACAGUCACUGGAUUCAUCAUCUAAUGAUUUAGUGCAAGAUUUAAGAGCCACUCUCCCUUUUAUUUAUUUUUUUUGUAUCAUCAUUUUUUUUAUUUCAUAUGCUAAUAAAUUUUUCUCUCAACUCAUUACAGGUUAUUUCACUAUCCACUCUCUUGUCAAGCUUCUCAAGAUUUUCCUCACUAGCAUCUGUUCGGAAUGAGUAAUCCCCAUAGCUUUCAAGCUAUUAUUGAUGAUAAAGAAUGUUAUCAAUUGAUUCUUCUUUCUUCAUAGAGAACAUCUCAUACUCUUUGCUCAGCAUGUCAAUGUUGGUUUCUUCCACUUGUGUGGUGCCCUCAUUUGUGACUUGAAACUUUAUCCCAGAUUUUCUUUGCUGUUUUGCAUCUUGAAUCCUUUCGGUAUUCCUUGAAGCUGAUUACACAGUUCAGCAUGUUGACAGUAUUGCUAUUUAGUUUUUCUUUCCUUUUGUAAUCUUCAUUCCAUUCUGCUUCGACUUUGGGAGAGACAACACCACCAGUGCCAUCUUUUGUAGGGACUUGAGGAUCAUUUAUGAUGAUCUUCCACAUGUUGUAAUCCACUGACUGAGAAAAAAAUCUUCAUUCUUCCUCCUUUUUUUGAAGAAUGGAGAUCUAUUGUUAGACUGUCCUUCAGUCAGGAUAUAAGCCACUGUGUUUGAACCCAUGUAGUUCGCCAUCAGGAUCUUUUCCUCCAAGCUGUGAAGCUUGAUCUCUUUGAGACCAAGCUCCGAUACUAAUUAAUGAUAAUCAGUGGCUAAGAGAAGGGUGGUUGAAUCUUAGCCUUCUUUUUCUGAAUGUUACUUUCUACUUUUUAGGAUAGCUCCAAGAGAUAUUUCUGCUUUUUGUCUCAUAACUGGUUAAGAGAUAUUUUCUUUUUGUCUCGUAACUAGUUAGAAGAUUUUUCAAUUUUAUCUCCCACAAACAGAAACAGUAAAGGAGUAGAAGAGAAAGAGAGAAUCACACCCAAAAGUAUCCUGGUUCAGCUGCUAAGUGCAAUGCAGCCUACAUCUAGUCUCCAUCACAACAGUGACAGAAUUUUACUAUAAUCAACUUGAUUACAGACACCAAUUCUUCCAUAGGAACUACCCAUUUUUAUCCGGGACAAGUCCAGAAUCUAUCCCCAAAACUGAACUUGACUUGGUCACCUACCAAGCUUUCGACUGCAAAGUGCUAACCCAACAUGCAAGGGAACAAGUCCAAAUUUUAUCCCAACUCGAACUUGACUAGACCUCAAUCUAGCUUUCAACCGCAAAGUGCUAACCCAACUUGCAAGAAAAUCUCCUCAGGAUCAUGACAACAAAACAAAAAUACAUACAAAGAAUUUCUGAGAUAAUAAUGGCUUUUUCUUUAACUCUCUGCCUUUUUUCUACUCAUUGGCUUUUUCUUACAAAACUUCACAUUUUGUCUUUUACAAAUGAAACACAGAUAGACUCACUGAGAAAAAGAAAUAUUUAAUGAAAGCCAUGAAGGAGAAGAAUAAACAGCUCAAAGAGUUAUGGGAACCCGAACGUGUGCUCUCACUCCUUGUCUCAAACCUUGGCUGUUCACCCUUAUUAUAGAAGGGGAAGCCUCCAAGGUUGAAACGGUUCAACCGAGCCAACUUCUUCUUCUUCAACACCAAAACCGGUUCGGACAGAGAGAAGAGAGAGGGAGCCGAAAGCUAAAAUCAACAUGCAAUUAUCUCUCUCUCAUCCCUUUUCUUCAAGCUUCAUCAAUCUGAGCCUUCCAUCUUGACUUGAUCCCCAAGAAGGAUUUCUGACCCUUGAUGAACCCUUAAUCUUUGACAGCUCUAUCUGCUCCACUUUUGCUUCCUCCUCCACGUAGCUAUAGUAGCUACCUUCUGUGAUAGAUGAACAAAAAGUAGAAACGAGCCAUACCACAGGGAUCUUCUUCUCUGACCGAAAUGGAUUGCUACCACUUUUGGCAUGGAGAUCUUGAAGCUUUUUCACCACAUCUUGCCAUUAGUAGAAAAGAUCUCAGCUACGCCAUGCUUUGGAUCUUCCUUUUUUGCAAAGGCCAUUACCCUAGCCUUUUGCUUCUUCCUAACUUCUCUAUAAUUUCUCUGAUAACUUCUUCUUCUUCUUUCUUCCAUCUUCUUUUCUGAUGGAUGUGACAAACAAAACAAGAGAGAGAGGAGAGAGUAGAAACAAAGCAUUGAUUGUUAGAUUAAAUAAAAUUGAAAUCCCACUAACAACUCCCAAUGCAUAAAGUAACGUGUGGAGCAAUUAAUGCCAUCAAAUCAAUUUUAAUUUUCUCUCUCCUAUUACCAAUGCAUGCAAUAAAAUUAAGUUAAUUAAUUUUCAAUUCCAUAAGCCAUGGAGGAAUGUAAUCGUGAAAAGCAUGCACUCAAUUUGAAUUUGGAUCCCACCAAAGUAAAUGGGUAAUAGAAACCUCAUGCUCCAUUCCCUUUUUCUUUUGAUUUCGGACCAAGUCUUGUUGGUCACCCAACAAAAAUUAAUUUGGGCUACUCACAUGAUACAUGGCCCAAAUUAUCUUUGCAAAAUAAUUCAUCCACACUCUUAGAAAUCUUUUUUCACAUUGGCUGAAUAUUUUUUUUCAUUAUUUUGGACUAUGUUGUUUUAGCCCAAAUAAACAAAUCAAGGCAUGUGAGAGAGUGAACAUUUUUGUGAUCACCGUAUGGAGUCUUUGGUCACUUGAAGAGAUUGCAUUGGGAUCAUUGAAAGGCUUCUUCCAAGGCUUUAGGCCACUUGUUUCUUUCUUUAAUUUAUGAUGGGCUUUGAUGGAUUUGGGCCUCCUUGGAUUUCUUUCUUUCUUUAAACAAUCAGCCACUAACAUUUGAAUUAUUUUUGCUCAAAGCUGAAUUUGUUCAAAGAUCAAUUUGGGCUUGUGUAACUUUGACCCAAUAGGAAUUAAAUUGCUUGCCUGCAAACUUGAACACAAAUCAUCAAAUAACUUAUUGGAAAUUAUUAAAUAGAACACUUAAUAAUAAUUUUAAUAAUUUUCUAAUUUACAUUUUAAUAAUGUUUGAUCAUCAUUUCAGUUUUCCAAACUCAACACUUGUAACUCUUAAAAUUGAAUAGCAAUUGGGUUGCAACCAAGACACUCUUGUUGCUAGAUAAGUUAUGAGUUUUCAAACCAAACUUUAGCCUAAUUGAAGUUUUGUAGUAAAAGUUAUGCAAGUUGAAAGAUACUAAGCUGCUUGAUUUCUAAAAACAGAUUUUGAAUUAUUUCUAUCUAACUUUCAAAUUAUGAAACUUCUUCAUUAAAAAUGAUAUUAACCUGGAACUAGUUGAAAAAAAAACUUGGAUAAGUUAAGUUUAACCAUAUUAAUUUUGAAGGUGGUUGGAAUUAAUUUGAAUUUUAUAUGGAAUAUUGAAUAUUAAACACUGCUGUUGUUUUUUUGGUUUUUAAGCACUGCAGAACAAGCACGGUUUUCCUUUUAUUUUCAAGGCUAGAUUGAUCAGAAAUUUAUGAUUUUUAGUUUAUUAGAAAGCUUAAUCCGAGAUGGAUGCCUGAACAUAAAGUUUUUGCAAUUCCGAAUUCAUUUGGUAUUUUAAAAACAUAAUUAAAAUUAGGCUGCCGGUGUUAUUUUGGUAACUACCUUGGGUAUGGAUCUUAAGAAAAGAUUCCUAUAUUAUUAUCAAAUAUUUUUUAGAAUGUACUGUUGUAGUACUUGAUGAUAAAAGGUUGGUGAAAUAUUGAGAAAGAGGGAAACCCGUAAGGGUGGUUAAGUCCUAUUUUUAGAGGAGAUCAUGUCCAAACUUUUAUAAAAAUAUAAGGACUUAAUCAAAAUGAAUAUUUAAGACUUGUUUAAUGAUGAUAACUUCAACAAUUCUUUUGAGAAAAGAUAAUCCGUUUAUGAAAUUAUUGGCAAAGACGUGGGUUUUGUCCCGCUUGCAUAUUUAUGAUUAUAAAAGAGAAUAAAAACCAGAGGAUCUGUUGAAAGGUCAUUUGUUGCUUGAGGCAACCCAAGAUAUGUUGUUUAUUCAUUUGUUGCACUAAGGCAACUUCAGAGAUAUUUAUAUGUUCAUCUGCUGCAUUGAGGCAGUCAGAUAGAUGGUGGUUCGACCACUGAGAACGCUUUCCUGUGGUACAGAUCCAUAUUUCAUUUCUGUAAGGCAGAGGGGUUAUUUCCUGCUACAGAAGUACCGUGACCACCUGUUUCAUUUCUGUAGUGGCAGAGGGAUUAUUUCCUGUAUACAGAAGGUGUGUCGGCAUACAUCCCUGCAGUGGCAGAUGUGUUAUUUCCUGCAUGCAGUGGACCCUGUGGUGGCAGAGGGGUUAUUUCCUGUACACAGGGGUAUAGCCAACAGGAAAUCCAUAUCCGGGUAGUAAUGCUGGGUUAAGCCAGGAGCGGGUAGAAACCGACAGAUGAGCUCAUUACCUACACUAUGGCUAGACAUGCAUCAUCUUGUUUUUGCAUUAUUCUUUGUGAUAUUUCCUAUGCUUUUAUUGUGUUCUUUAUUUUGUUUGCUUGUGUUCUAUUUGUAUAGUUCUACUUGCCUAUUUUUGAAUUGCGCUUAGAGUUAGGUAUUAUAUGAAAAGUCAUACUAGUUCAGCAUAGACUUAAUGAACCUAUGUUUAGGACAUGCUGACUAUUCAUACCGAGAUUGACAUAAGCUAAUAUCCAAUUCUCUUUCAACAUAAUUUUCAAAGAGUCUUAUGUAAUUAAUGAAAAUGAAUAUUAUUGAAUUAAAUUAUCUAUUUGCAUUUUUAUUCUUUAUUUUUACGACAUUCUCGAUCUCUACUGAGAACUUGUGGUUUGGUUCUCACCCCCAAAUUUUUCACCCUUUCAGUGACACAGGUUUGAAGACGCAAUAUGAAGCUGCAAGCGAUUAGUCGAUUUUUUCAUUAUUUUAAUUGCUUUCAUAGAGUCCCUCCCUAUUGUCCUUUGAGAUUUUAUCUUACAUAGAGGGGUAGGUAUGGUACACUGUAUUUGAGUUUUAUUUGGUUUCUUUUGUAUAAAAAUUAUUGCUAAUAGUAUUUAUGUGAUUAUUAUUACUUGUAGAAUCUUUGAUAUAUGUCUUUAAUAAAUAAAAACAAAAUUUUUCGGUAUUUUCUUAAAUUAGAAACGCGAAAUCAAAAUAAAGGCUCAGUAAUUAAGUAGUUAAUACUAGAAAAGGUUACGUAAUGUUCUUUCUAGUAGAAAUACCCUGACUUAAGCAAGGUAUUUUGCUGGAAGGGAUGUUACAGUAAAGGUGUCAUGCACAUAAAUUAAUCCCUCACUUUGCAUUAAGUGACUCAUAUUAGUCCCUAAAAUUAAAUAUCGUCGUGCACCAAACUAAUCGAUUCACCAGUUUUUUUUCAUUUUUUUAAAAAAUUUAAAAUUUUCAAUAUCUUGGAUGCACUAAUUUUAAUUUUGUUUUUUCAUAUAUCAUUUAAAUACAAGUACUUUCAUAAAAAUUCUCAUUGUCAUUAUUACAUCAUACUUCUAUUUAUAGUAUAAUUCUCAUUCUCUAAUUGGGCUAACCCAAUACUAAUCUUAUCAUUAUCCUAUCCUUCAAAACAACCUUGUCCUUAAGAUUGGAGAAAAAAUAUAAAACCUAAGUAAAAUCGUAAAUAUGAAUUACAAGUACUAAACAAAAUUAAUUUAAAAAAUAAUAUUUUCUAUACUACUACUUAAAAUAAAAAUUCGCCACCAGAAUCACAUUAUUUAAAAUAGAGUAAAGGACAAAUAGGUCCCUGACCUUUUUUUUGUGGACAUUUUUGUCCUCAAGGAAGAAAAAAUACAUUCAAGUCCCUCACUUCCAAAAAACGUGGACAUUUCAACCCUUCCGUUGAAUUCAGGCGUUUGGACUGGACGGAAAAGUCUGACCUGGCAGAGGUGGCACUGACCUGGCCGUUACGGAGCCCACGUGGCAGGAAGCUUUUCGAAACAGGACAUAUAAGUCCCCGGAGAUGAAAACAACGCCAUUUCGUUACCUCCCCUCCAAACACAGUUGAAUCCCCGUAUACAAUACCCAGAAGACCCAUACUUGAGUGAGAGAAUUACUGAAAAUCCUAUGCCAAAGACGAUCAAACUCUUUCGUCUCUAUUUUUCCCUCCAAAAAAUACAACACGUACAAGAGCAAUAGGUGCCGGUUGAAGUUGGUGCCAGAAGCUGAGAAGAAGCUUGCUCUGAGGUCAUGGUUGCUAUCUUCGUCAGAAGGUAAAAUUGUGAUGCUUAGCUAGGAAGGCAAUGUGUGUGCAUGUUUAUAGUGUAAGAUAGAAUAUGAAAAAAGGGGUUUAAAGCGUCCUUUGUAGGAUUAGGGGAAAGGAUUGUGUUAGGGCAAUGUGGUUUCGUUCAUAUCUUGUGUUUAUGUGUUUUUUAUUUUAAUCCUAGUUCUGCACGGGUUAAUUUCAGAUGGUUGAUGUGUUUGUGGUGCCGGUCUUUCAUCAUGGAGGGAACUUUGUAAGGGAAAUUGAUGAAAAAAUGGUUUAUCAAAAUGGAAAGGAAGAGAGGUUUCCUCAGAUGGACCUAGACUUUGUUAAUUUUGGAGACCUGGUGACACUAUUUAAGGGCUUGGACUACCAGUCAUACAAGGCAGUAUACUGGUAUGAUCCAACAAGCACUGACAUUGAAUCCGCAAUGAACAUAUUGACUAGGGAUGCAGGGAUCAACGCAAUGCGAGAGAACUUAAUGAAGAACCCAGGGCUAGGUGAGUUCCAUAUAUACUUUGACCACCCUGUUAAUGAUCCGGAGGUUGUUGAGGAUGCUGCCCAGGACAGAGAUACUGCAGGGGAGGUGGAUGAAACUGCAGAGGAACUGAAUGCAUCCUCUUCAUCUGAUGACGGGUACAAGAGCACGGAGGACGUGUUGUACAAACCUCCACCGGCUGGAAUUGAGAGUGAUAGUACUGAAAGUGACAGCAAUGGUGGGGUUACUGCUGGGAAGAGGAAAAGAUGUGUCAAGGGUAAAAAGAAGGUAGUCACUCCGAAGAAAAAGGUAGUUACUCCAAGGAAAAAGGUAGUUAUUCUGAAGAAGCAAGGGAAGAGGAAGAGACAAUUUGGCACAAGGGUUAAGGAAAGAGGGGAAGGCAGUGGGAAUAGGAAUGAUGUACGUGGUGAAGCUGGGGAUCAGUUGCCUGAUGUCCAACCCGAUUAUGCAGUACGGGUGGGUUUUAUGUUAGUGAGCUCCCAACAGAGGUGGAGAAAAUCAUGUUUGAGUAUGAGUCUGAAGACUUGCAUACUCUCAUAUCAUCCGAUGAUGAAGGCAGAGGUAAUAAAUUUCCAGAUUUUGAUGAUGAUUAUGCUAAUGGUGAGGGCAGGUUUGAGUUAGGAACUAGGUUUACCACUGUGGACAGGUUCAAGGAGGUAGUUAAAGAUUCGUUCAUUGUUGAGGGGCGGGAAUUGAGGUGGAUAAAAAAUGACAAAGAGAGAGUGAGAGUGGGGUGUGGGGAUCAGGAGUGUCCUUACUUGGUUCACUUGUCAUAUAACAAAAGUUUGCAGUGUUAUCAAGUGAAGACCUACCAUCCAAAACACACUUGUGCAAGGGAUUUGGGCAGUAACGCUGUUGAUCAGCACUGGCUAAGUAAGAAAAUUGAGAAACGAAUGUCAACCCAACCACACAUGAAUACGAAGAAGACAACUGAUUUCCUUAAAGAGGAAUUUUCGCUCUGUCCCCAUCCUAAGAUGGUUUAUAGAGCAGUGAAGGAAGCUAGGGACAAGAUCAUGGGAAAUGAAAGGGAACAAUACAAGAGAACGAGGGAUUAUUGUGAGGAAGUACUUAGGAGAAAUCCAGGCUCAUCAGUUAGGCUUGAGCUCAUGCCAAUUCUAGAGGCUCCCCCUGUUUUUGAUAAACUGUACAUUUGCCUAGAUGCCUGCAAACAAGGUUUCAAAGAUGGAUGUCGUCCUUUGUUGCAUUUGGAUGGUUGCUUACUGAAAACAUAUUAUGUUGGUUGGCUUCUAGAAGCAGUUGCUCAGGACGCAAACAAUCAGUUUUAUGUGGUUGCAUAUGGGGUUGUCAGGACUGAGACCAAGGAUUCCUGAAAGUGGUUCCUGACUAAUCUGCAAGGGGACAUAUGAGACGAUGCAAACCAUGGCUGAAACUUCAUAUCAGACCAGCAGAAAGUGAAAGUAGUUUAUGGUUAUUUUCAUUGCUUUGUAUUUAGUUAAGAUGAUUGCUAACUAUUUGGUGAUCUUCAUUGCUAUCUAUUUGGUUAAUUUCAUUGCUGUCUGUUUGAUUAAUUUCAAUGCAGGGUUUGCUGCCUGUGCUGAAGGAGGUCAUGCCACAUGCUAAGCUCCGCAAUUGCGUCAUGCAUAUGUGGAAAAACUUCAUAAACCGCUACAAGGUCUUGUACAUUAGACAUGUUAUGUGGGAGUGUGCUAGAUGCAUGACUGUUGCUGAAUUCAAGGAAUGCAUGGAGAAGUUGAAGACAGUUAACCAGGGUGCUUGGGAGUACCUCAGUAAAUUUGAACCAGAAACAUAGGUUAAGGCUUACUUCUCCCAUGGACCAAAAGUGGAUAACCUCACAAACAUGUGCGAGGUUUUUAAUGCUAAAAUAGUAAACUACCGUUGCAAGCCUAUCCUAACUAUGUGUGAAGAGAUCAGGUGUUACCUGAUGAGGACUUGAGGAGGAUGGUGAAUCAUAAACGGGUAUUGGACAAUCACUCAGAGAAGCUAGCACCAGUUCAGGAAAAGAGGCUGGAGAAGUUAUUAAAUCUUAGCACCAAGUGGACGGCUGAAUGGAUUGGUGACAAUGAACGAAAGAGGUUUGAGGUUUCUCGCAAAGCAACGAAGGUGGAUGUGGACCUCAUUAGGUACAGUUGCUCAUGCAACAGAUGGCAAUUCACUGGUAACUACUGUUCUCACUUGAGUCAGUUUUUUGGUUAUUUUGAAAUGAAUUUCCUUUACUGUUUUUUUGGUUCCAUUACUCACCUUCACUGCAUUAUCUCAGGCAUGCCCUGUUUACAUGCACUAGCUGCCAUUUGGAAGAGACAUGACAUACCUCAUGACUAUGUUCACCCUUGGCUGUGCAUGGAGUCCAUCAGGAUGACAUAUGCACACUGCAUUAAGCCUGUUCCAAGUCCAGAAUUUUGGGCAAGAACUAAGUUCUCGAAGUUAGACCCACCCAUUAUCAAAAGGCUAAUUAGACAGCUAAAGGUUCAUAAUAGGCAAAAAGAUCCUGCUGAGCCCAUCAUGCAAGGGGGAAAACUGAAGAGAUCAUUCAUUGUAUUCUGCAGCAAGUGUGGUGAGAAGGGCCACAACUACAAAACAUGUAAGAGAGCUCCUUCCAACCCAAACUGGAAGCUGAAGACAAGGCGCCCUAGGAAGAAAGCAGCUAGCUCCUCCCAGUCACUGAUUGUGCUUCCUCUAUCACAAUCUGCUCCCCCACCAGAGGUAAGAUCCCUACUGUUAUCAUUGUCUUUUAGGGACUAUUCUGUCUUAGUACUAUUAUGGUUAGGGACUAAUCUGUCUUAGUAUACAAAACAUUAGGGUUAAAUAUGUCUUAGUUUACUAUUCAUGAGGUGCUGUUAUGUCCCAUCAUCAAACUGUUUACAUAUUACAUGCAUAUUUUCAGGAUACAUCCAGCAGCCAACCAGGCAGCUCCACAUGCCUGACCCCAAACUCCACUGUUGUGGAAUCACCUGCCCCAGAAAUCCACCUAUGCCACCAGCUCCAACAAGGGUGACAAGAUCCACAGUUGUCAUUUCACUUGCAGGGCCAACAGCUACUCAAGCCAGGCCACUAGCCCCAACUACAGGCCAUCCAUUUAAACCUCCAGGGAAAGCCAAUGACACAGCUCGCCCACAACAGUCCAGGUUCAGACCAAAAUAGAAGAUCUUCAGGCUGCCAGCUCUAAUUGCUGCCUGCACAAUCCCACCUAAAACACAAUAGCCAACUCUAUCUACCAUCCCAUCUGCAGCACGAAUCAGGAUGCUCCACCCCCAAAUUUUCCAACUUCAUCAACAACGAAGGACUCGAAGGAGUGAAGACUUCUGUCAUUAUGUGCUUUUGUGAAAACUUUUUGGAUAUGUAAUGGUUCAUAACAAGUAGUAGAUACAAUUUGCCUUUUUGUUACAUGCUUUUUGAACACUGGUGCGUAGAAAUCGUGACGGUUCCAUUCCUUGGUAACGGCACUAAAAACUCAAUACGCACGUUCAUAAUCUUAGUUCUUUGUCACAACUUCGCACAACUAACCAGCAAGUGCACUGGGUCAUCCAAGUAAUAAACCUUACGUGAGUAAGGGUCGAUCCCACAGAGAUUGUCGGCUUGAAGCAAGCUAUGGUCACCUUGUAAAUCUCAGUCAGGCGGAUUCAAUUGAUUAUGGAGAUUUAGUAAUUAAAAGAUAAAUAAAAUAUAAAAUAAAAAUAAUGAUACUUAUGUAAUUCAUUGGUGAGAAUUUCAGAUAAGCGUAUAGAGAUGCGUUCAUUCCUCCUGAACCUCUGCUUUCCUAUUGUCUUCAUCUAAUCAUUCAUACUCCUUUCUAUGGCAAGCUGUAUGUUAGGCAUCAUCGUUGUCAAUGGCUACAUCCUGUCUUCUUAGUGAAAAUGGUCCAAUGCGCUGUCACUGCAUGGCUAAUCAUCUGUCGGUUCUCGAUCAUACUGGAAUAGGAUCCAUUGAUCCUUUUGCGUCUGUCACUACCCCAGCACUCGCGAGUUUGAAGCUCGUCGCAGCCAUCCCUUCCCAGAUCCUACUUGAAAUACCACAGACAAGGUUUAGACUUUCCGGAUCUCAAGAAUGGCCGUCCAUGGAUUCUAACUUAUACCACGAAGAUUCUGAUUAAGGAAUCCCAGAGAUACUCAUUCAAUCUAAGGUAGAACGGAAGUAGUUGUCAGGCAUGCGUUCAUAGGUUGGGAAUGAUGAUGACUGUCACGAUCAUCACAUUCAUAUUGAAGUGCGAAUGAAUAUCUUAGAAUCAGAAUAAGCUUGAAUUGAAUAGAAAAACGAUAGUACUUUGUAUUAAUUCAUGAGGAACAGCAGAGCUCCACACCUUAAUCUAUGGUGUGUAGAAACUCUACCGUUGAAAAUACAUAAGUGAUGAAGGUUCAGGCAUGGCCGAAUAGCCAGCCUCCAAACGUGAUCUAAAGAUGAAACUAAAGAUGUAAAUGCAAUAGUAAAAAGUCCUAUUUAUGCUAAACUAGUUACUAGGGUUUAUAGAAAUGAGUAAAUGAUGCAGAAAUCCACUUCCGGGGCCCACUUGGUGUGUGCUUGGGCUGAGCAUUGAGCUUUACAUGUGUAGAGGCUUCUCUUGGAGUUGAACGCCAGUUUGUAACCUAUUUCUGGCGUUUAACUCCACUUUGCAACCUGUUUCUGGCGUUUAACUCCAUAAUGCAGCAUGGAACUGGCAUUGAACGCCAGUUUGCGUCAUCUAAACUCGGAGGAAUAGCGAUGGAUUCCUAUGAAGCAUUCAGGAACAAGAAGAUUCAAUCGGACGACGAAUUCUUACGUGGUCCAAGGAAAUCAAAGGUCCGCUUCCACGAUUUCAUCUAUAUCGAAUCUGAAUAUCAGAAUAGCUUAUAUAGUCAUGAUUCAAUUCAGGUCCACUGACUUUUGAUUGAUUUCUCUUCGGAUCUGAUUGGAACAUUGGAGAAGUAGGAAGAAGAGAAAGUAGCUGCGAUUGCUUGGAGACCUCUUGAAUCGAUUCUUACUUAGACUACAAUAAUUAUUAUAACCACAACUUGUCUUGUCGUACUAGAAGUUCGAACUAGAGGCAGGAAGUAAGUACUGGCGCAGGGAAUGGAGUUUUAAGAACAGGAACAUCGUUAUGCCUUCCUUUCAGUCCUCUGAUCUUACCUUAGACCCUCCAUGCUAUGCGGGGAAGCGAGGUAAGGGCUAGCUUCUAAUCUCCGAUGAUGCCAAGCGAGUCUUCUCGUACUUCAGGCACUCCAGAGGUUAGUUUGUAAAAGAGUGAGAACAUGUGAAACAACAAAGAGAAUUAGGAAUGGAAGGUGGGUGCCCUCUAUAUUGGGGGUUGAUUCUAGCUUUCCGUCAUCUCAACCUAAGCAUCACGUUCCUAGGGACAGAGACAUCUGCGCUCUAAGGCUAUCAUAGCCAGCAUGGUUACAUCUAACUGCCUACUGGGCAAGCUUCAACUUCAAAGUCACCUGAUUUGGAUAUGGACUAUUAUAUAUUGCUGGAAAGCCCUGAAUGUCUACUUUCCAAAGCAAUUGGGAGCGCGCCAUUUGGAGUUCUGUAGCUCCAGAAAAUGCACUUUGAGUGCAGGGAGGUCAGAAUCCAACAGCAUCUGCAGUCCUUCUUCAACCUCUGAAUCUGAUUUUUGCUUAAGUCCCUCAAUUUCAGCCAGAAAAUACCUGAAAUCACAGAAAAACACACAAACUCAUAGUAAAGUCCAGAAAUGUGAUUUUUAUUUUAAAACUAAUAAAAAUAUACUAAAAACUAACUAAAUUAUACUGAAAAUUAUGUAAAAAUAAUGCCAAAAAGCGUAUAAAUUAUCCGCUCAUCACAACACCAAACUUAAAUUGUUGCUUGUCCCCAAGCAACUGAAAAUUAAAUAGGAUAAAAAGAAGAAAAUAUACUAUAAAUUCCAAAAUAUCAAUGAAACUUAGUUCCAAUCAGAUGAGCGAGACUUGUAGCUUUUUGCCUCUUGAAUAGUUUUGGCAUCUCACUUUAUCCGUUGAAGUUCAGAAUGAUUGGCGUCUAUAGGAACUUAGAAUUCAGAUAGUGUUAUUGAUUCUCCUAGUUCAGUAUGUUGAUUCUUGAACACAGCUACUUUAUGAGUUUUGGCUGUGGCCCUAAGCACUUUGUUUUUCAGUAUUACCACCGGAUACAUAAAUGCCACAGACACAUAACUGGGUGAACCUUUUCAGAUUGUGACUCAGCUUUGCUAAAGUCCCCAAUUAGAGGUGUCCAGGGUUCUUAAGCACACUCUUUUUUUUGCUUUGGACCUUGACUUUAACCGCUCAGUCUCAAGUUUUCACUUGACACCUUCACGCCACAAGCACAUGGUUAGGGACAGCUUGGUUAGCCGCUUAGGCCAUGAUUUUAUUCCUUUAGGCCCUCCUAUCCACUGAUGCUCAAAGCCUUGGAUCAUUUUUAUUUACCCUUGCCUUUUGGUUUAAAGAGCUUUUGGCUUUUUCUGCUUGUUUUUUUUUUCUUUUUCUUUCUUUUUUUCCGCUAUUUUUUUUCUGCAAGCUUUUGUAUUCACUGCUUUUUCUUGCUUCAAGAAUUAUUUUUAUGAUUUUUCAGAUUAUCAAAUAACAUUUCUCCUUUUUCAUCAUUCUUCAAGAGCCAACAUAUUUAACAUUCAUAAACAUCAACUUCAAAAGACAUAUGCACUGUUCAAGCAUUCAUUCAGAAAACAAAAAGUAUUGUCACCACAUCAAAAUAAUUAAACUAGUUUCACGGAUGAAUUCAAAACCAUGUACUUCUUGUUCUUUUGUUUUUAGAAUAUUUUUUUCAUUUAAGAGAGGUGAUGGAUUCAUAUUCAUAACUUUAAGGCAUAGACACUUAGACACUAGUGAUCAUAUAGUAAAGACACAAACAUAAAUAAAACAUAAAGCUCAAAAAUCUAAAAACAGUAAAAUAAAUAGACAAGGAGAUUAAGGAAUGAGUCCACCUUAGUGAGGGUGGCGUCUUCCUCUUCUUGAAGAACCAAUGGUGCUUUUGAGCUCCUUUAUGUCUCUUCCUUGCCUUUGUUGCUCCUCCCUCAUAGCUCUUUGAUCUUCUCUAAUCUCAUGGAGGAUGAUGGAGUGCUCUUGGUGCUCCACCCUUAGUUGUCCCAUGUUGGAACUUAAUUCUCCUAGGGAGGUGUUGAUUUACUCCCAAUAGUUUUGUGGAGGAAGGUGCAUCCCUCGAGGCAUCUCAGGGAUUUCAUGGUGGGGAAUUUUCUCAUGCUCUUGUUGAGGUCCAUGAUCUCUUAUUUGCUCCAUCCUUUUCUUAGUGAUGGGCUUGUCCUCUUCAAUGAGGAUGUCUCCCUCUAUGUCAAUUCCAGCCGAAUUGCAGAGGUGGCAUAUGAGGUGAGGAAAGGCUAACCUUGCCCAAGUGGAGGACUUGUCAGCCACCUUGUAAAGUUCUUGAGGUAUAAUCUCAUGAACUUCUACCUCCUCUCCAAUCAUGAUACUAUGGAUCAUGAUGGCUCGGUCUAUAGUAACUUCAGACCGGUUACUAGUAGGAAUGAUUGAGCGUUGAAUGAACUCUAACCAUCCCCUAGCCACUGGUUUGAGGUCAUGCCUUCUUAGUUGAACCGGCUUGCCUCUUGAGUCAAUUUUCCAUUGAGCUCCUUCUUCACAUAUGUCUCUGAGGACUUGGUCCAACCUUUGAUCAAAGUUGACCCUUCUUGUGUAGGGGCAUGCGUUCUCUUCCAUCAUUGGCAAGUUGAAUGCCAACCUUACAUUUUUCGGACAGAAAUCUAAGUAUUUCCCCCGAACCAUGGUAAGCCAAUGCUUUGGAUUCGAGUUCACACUUUGAUCAUGGUUCCUAGUGAUCCAUGCGUUUGCAUAGAACUCUUGAACCAUUAGGAUCCCGACUUGUUGAAUGGGGUUGGUGAGAACUUCCCAACCUCUUUUUCGGAUCUCAUGUCGGAUCUCCGGAUACUCAUUCUUUUUGAGCUUGAAAGGAACCUCAGGGAUUACUUUCUUCUUGACCACAACUUCAUAGAAGUGGUCUUGAUGGACCUUUGAGAUGAAUCUCUCCAUCUCCCAUGACUCAGAGGUGGAAGCAAUUGCCUUCCCUUUCCUCUUUCUAGAGGUUUCUCUGGCCUUAGGUGCCAUAUAUGGUUAUGGAAAAACAAAAAGCUAUGCUUUUACCACACCAAACUUAAAAUGUUUGCUCGUCCCCGAGAAAAAGAAGAAAGAAAGUAGUAGAAAAAGAAGAAAAUGGAGGAGAUGGGGGAAGAAUAUGUAUUCGGCCAAGGAGAAGAAGAGAGGGUUGUGUUGUGUGAAAAUGAAGAAGUAGUGAGGGGUUUAUAUAGGAGUGAGGGGGGAUGUAGGGUUCGGCCAUUAGGGUUGGGUUUGGGAGGAAAAUUAGUUUGAAUUUUGAAGGUAGGUGGGGUUUAUGGGGAAGAGAGGAUGGAUGUAAGUGGUGAAGAGGUGAUGGAAAAGAGUGAUUGAGGUGAUUGGUGAAGGGUAUUUGGGGAAGAGAGUUAUGAAAAGGUGUGAAGAGGAGAGAAGAAAAUGUGGGGAUCCUGUGGAGUCCACAGAUCCUGAGGGGAUCCUGUGGGAUCCACAGAUCAAGUGGGGUCAAGGACUUAACAUCCCUGCUCCAAUUAGGCGUGUAAAAUGCCCUUGCUGUGCAAUCCUGGCAUUUAACGCCAGACUGCUGCCUGUUUCUGGCGUUAAACGCCCAAAUGUAGCUUGUUUCUGGCGUUUAACGCCAGGUAGAUGCUUGUUUCUGGUGUUAAACGCUAGACAGAUGCUUGUUUCUGGCGUUUAAAUGCUAGAUUGUUCUCCUCCAGGGUGUGCUGUCUUCAAUGCUAUUUUUCAUUCUGUUUUUUAUUUUUCAGUAGUUUUUGUGACUUCACAUGAUCAUCAACCUAAUAAAACACGAAAUAACAAAAAGAAAAUAAAAUAGAUAUGCUUAAAUAACAUUGGGUUGCCUCCCAACAAGCGCUUCUUUAAUGUCAAUAACUUGACAGUGAGCUCUCAUGGAGCCUCACAGAUAAUCAGAGCAAGGUUGGAACCUCCCAACACCAAACUUAGAGUUUGACUGUGGGGGCUUUGGUUGACUCUGCAGUGAGAGAAGCUUUUCAUGCUUCCUCUCCAUGGUUACAGAAGGAGAUCCUUGAGUUUUAAACACAAGGUUGUCCUUAUUCAGUUGAAGGACCAACUCUCCUCUGUCCACAUCAAUCACAGCUCUUACUGUGGCUAGGAAGGGUCUUCCAAGGAUGAUGGAUUCAUCAUCUUCCUUCCCAGUGUCUAGGAUUAUGAAAUCAGCAGGGAUGUAAAGGCCUCCAACCUUUACUAACACGUUCUCUACUUGUCCAUAAGCCUAUUUUCUUAAGUUGUCUGCCAUCUCUAAUGAGAUUUGGUGCACGAAAUUGUGAUCUCCAGGCUCGAACAAAUCCUGGUAAUGGCUCCAAAGCUUGGUGCUCUGAUCUUAAUUCAUAAUUGUCACAACUUCGAUACAACUAACCAGCAAGUGCACUGGGUCGUCCAAGUAAUACCUUACGUGAGUAAGGGUCGAAUCCCACGGAGAUUGUUGGUAUGAAGCAAGCUAUGGUCACCUUGCAAAUCUCAGUUAGGCAGAUAUAAAUGGAUAAUGGUGUUUUCGAAUUUAAUAUAAUAAAAUAGGGAUAGAGGUACUUAUGUAAAUCAUUGGUAGGAAUUUCAGAUAAGCGAAUAGAGAUGCUUUUCGUUCCUCUGAACCUCUGCUUUCCUGCUAUCUUCAUCCAAUCAGUCUUACUCCUUUCCAUGGCUGGCUGUAUGCAAGGGCAUCACCGUUGUCAGUGGCUACACCCCCUCCUCUCAGUGAAUAAUAUGCUCACGCACCCUGUCACAGCACGGCUAUUCAUCUGUCGGUUCUCCAUCAUGCUGGAAUAGGAUUCACCCUCCUUUUGNNNNNNNNNNNNNNNNNNNNNNNNNNNNNNNNNNNNNNNNNNNNNNNNNNNNNNNNNNNNNNNNNNNNNNNUUUUGAAAAAGAUUUGAUUUUUAAAAUCACAAUUAAUGACUUGAUUCAUAAGAAAUCACAAGAUAUGAUUCUAGAACUCAAAGUUUGAAUCUUUCUUAACAAGCAAGUAACAAACUUGAAAUUUUUGAAUCAAAACAUUAAUUGUUUAUUGUUAUUUUCGAAAAUUUGGUAUAAAAAUAAGAAAAAGAUUUUUGAAAAAUAUUUUUUGGAAUUUUCGAAAAUAACUAAGAAUUUUGAAAAAGAUUUGAUUUUUGAAAAAGAUUUUGAAAAAGAUAAGAUUUUCAAAUUGAAAAUUUGAUUUGACUCAUGAGAAACAACUUGAUUUUAAAAAUUUUUGAAAAAGUCAAUUCAAAUUUUCGAAUUUGAUGAGAGAAAAAGGGAAAGAUAUUUUUUUGAUUUUUGAAUUUUUUUUUUUGAAUUUUUAUGAAAACAUGAAAAAUAUGCAAUGCAUGAAAAUUUUAGAUCAAAACAAUGAAUGCAUGCAAGAAUGCUAUGAAUGUCAAGAUGAACACCAAGAACACUAUGAAUGUCAAGAUGAACAUCAUAGACAAAAUUUUGAAAAAUUUUUAAUGCAAAUAAAACAUGCAAGACACCUAACUUAGAAUUCUUUAAUGCCUAGACAUUAAGAAUUCAAGAAUGCAUAUGAAAAACACUAUACAACACAAAACAAAAAAUCAUCAAGAUCAAACAAGAAGACUUACCAAGAACAACUUGAAGAUCAUGAAGAACACUAUGAAUGCAUGAAAUUUUCGAAAAAUGCAAGAUGCAUAUGCAAGUGACACCAAACUUAUGAUAUGACUCAAGACUCAAACAAGAAACAGAAAAAUAUUUUUGAUUUUUAUGAUUUUCUAAUUUUUUUUGGAUUUUUUUCGAAAAUUAUAUGAAAAAGAAAAAUAAGGAUUCCAAAAUUUUUAAUAUGAAUUCCAGGAAUCUUGCAUUCUUAGUCUAAAGCUUCAGUCCAGGAAUUAGACAUGGCUCACUAGCCAGCCAAGCUUUCAAUGAAAGCUUCGGUCCAAAACACUAGACAUGGCCAAUGGCCAGCCAAGCUUCACCAUGUAAUUCAGACAUGACAUGCCUGACAUACCCUACAAUCGUAUAAGAGCUGAUGGUUGGAAGCCUCAGUCCAAAAGAAUUUAGACAUGGCUUUACAGCCAGCCAGGCUUCACAUGCUUCAUGAAACACUAGAAUUCAUUCUUUAAAAAUUUUGAAUCUAAUUUUUUUUUCGAAAACAUAAGAAAAAUUUUUGAAAUAUUUUUGAAAAAUUUUGAAAAUAAAAUAAAAAGAAAAGUACCUAAUCUGAGCAACAGGAUGAACCGUCAGUUGUCCAAACUCAAACAAUCCCCGGCAACGGCGCCAAAAACUUGGUGUUAUUGCCGGGAUUCAAACUUGGCACUGAUGUUACCGGACCAAAAGCUUGCCGAAAACUCAAACAAUCCCCGGCAACGGCGCCAAAAACUUGGUGCACGAAAUUGUGAUCUCCAGGCUCGAACAAAUCCUGGUAAUGGCUCCAAAGCUUGGUGCUCUGAUCUUAAUUCAUAAUUGUCACAACUUCGAUACAACUAACCAGCAAGUGCACUGGGUCGUCCAAGUAAUACCUUACGUGAGUAAGGGUCGAAUUUGGAGUUGAACGCCAGUUUCUGUGCCAGUUUGGGCGUUCAACUCUGGCUUUGGAUCCUUUUCUGGCGCUGGACGCCAGAUUUGGGCAGAAGGCUGGCGUUGAACGCUAGUUUACGUCGUCAAUUCUUGGCCAAAGUAUGGACUAUUAUAUAUUGCUGGAAAGCCCUGGAUGUCUACUUUCCAACGCAAUUGGAAGCGCGCCAUUUCGAGUUUUGUAGCUCCAGAAAAUCCGCUUUGAGUGCAGGGAGGUCAGAAUCCAACAGCAUCAGCAGUCCUUCUUCAACCUCUGAAUCUGAUUUCUGCUCAAGUCCCUCAAUUUCAGCCAGAAAAUACCUGAAAUCACAGAAAAACACACAAACUCAUAGUAAAGUCCAGAAAUGUGAAUUUAUCAUAAAAACUAAUGAAAACAUCCCUAAAAGUAGCUAGAUUCUACUAAAAACAUACUAAAAACAAUGUCAAAAAGCGUAUAAAUUAUCCGCUCAUCAAGAUUCUAGCAGCUUGCACCUCAAAGAUCCCUAGUUUCUCCAUUACAGAGAGUGGCAUUAAGUUUAUUCCUGACCCCAGGUCACACAGAGCCUUCUCAAAGGUCAUGGUGCCUAUGGUGCAGGGUAUUAAGAAUUUUCCUGGAUCCUGUUUCUUUUGAGGUAAUUUCUGCCUAUCCAAUGCAUUUAGUUCAUUGGUGAGCAAGGGAGGUUCAUCUUCCCAAGUCUCAUUACCAAAUAACUUGGCAUUCAGCUUCAUGAUUGCACCAAGGUAUUUAGCAACUUCCUCUUCAGUAAUGUCUUCAUCCUCUUCAGAGAAAGAAUACUCAUCAGAGCUCAUGAAAGGCAGAAGGAGGUUCAAUGGAAUCUCUAUGGUCUCUAGAUGAGUCUCAGAUUCUUUUGGUUCCUCAAAGGGAUACUCCUUAUUGGUCACUGGACGUCCCAGGAGGUCUUCCUCACUAGGAUUCACGUCCUCCUCUUCCCUUGUAGGUUCGGCCAUGAUGGUCAAUUCAAUGGCCUUACACUCUCUCUUUGGAUUCUCUUCUGUAUUGCUUGGGAGAGUACUUGGAGGGAUUUCAGUGACUCUUUUACUCAGCUGGCCCACUUGUGCCUCCAAAUUCUUAAUGGAGGACCUUGUUUCAUUCAUGAAACUCACAGUGGCCUUAGAUAGAUCAGAGACUAUAUUUGCUAAGCUAGAUGAAUUCUGCUCAGAAUUCUCUGUCUGUUGCUGAGUGGAUGAUGGAAAAGGCUUGCUAUUGCUAAACCUGUUUCUUUCACCAUUAUUAAAGCCUUGUUGAGGCUUUUGUUGAUCCUUCCAUGAGAAAUUUGGAUGAUUUCUCCAUGAGGGAUAAUAGGUGUUUCCAUAGGGUUCACCCAUGUAAUUCACCUCUGCUAUUGCAGGGUUUUCAGGAUCAUAAGCUUCUUCUUCAGAAGGUUGUGCUUUAGCUUCCCUUAGCUUCCUCUUCAGAGUCCUUUCAGGUUCAAGAUCAACCUCAAUAAGAAUGUUCUUAUCCUUGCUCCUGCUCAUAUGAAAAAGAAGAAAACAGAAAAAAAAAUAUAGAAUCCUCUAUGUCACAGUAUAGAGAUUCCUUUAUGUGAGUAGAAGAAUAUAUGAAUAGAAGAAGGAGAAUUCAAACACAAGGGUGAGGAGUAGGUUCGAAUUCUUGGGUGAAAAAGGAAUGUUAGUAGAUGAAUAAAUAAAUAGAAGAAUUUUCGAAAAUUAGAUAAAAUAAAAUAAAAGUAUUUUUGUUUUUAAAUUAAAAAUUAAAAUUAAAAAUUCAAAACUUAAUCAAGGAAAAUUAAAUCAAAUUAAUUAAAUUUAAAACAAUUAGUUAAUUUAAAAAGGAAUUUUGAAGAAGAGGGAAGGGAUUUUCAAAAAUUAGAGAGAGAGAGAGAGUUAGUUAGGUAGUUUUGAAAAGAUAUGAUUGAAAUAAUAAACUUUUAAAAUCGAACAAAAAGUCAAGUAGUUAAUUAAAAAAGAUUUGAAAAUCAAUUUUUGAAAAGAUAAGAAGUUAGAAAAGAAGUUGGAAAAGAUUUUGAAAUUGAUUUUGAAAAAGAUGUGAUUGACAUUUAUUUUGAAAAAGAUUUGAAAAAGAAAUUUAAAAAGAUUUGAUUUUUGAAAUCAAAGUUGAUUACUUGACUAACAAGAAACUUGAAGAUAUGAUUUUAAAAUUUAAAAAUUGAACCUUUCUUAAUAGGCAAGUAACAAACUUAAAAAUUUUGAAUCAAUCACAUUAAAUGUUAACAUUGAAUUCGAAAAAGAUAAGAAAAAGAUUUUGAAAAUCAAUUUGAAAUUUUCGAAAAUAUGAAAGAAAAAAUGAAAAAGAUUUGAGUUUUGAAAAAGAAUUGAAAAAGAUAAAAUUUUUAAAUUGAAAAUUUGAUUUGACUCAUAAGAAACAACUAAAUUUUAAAAAAUUUUGAAAAAGUCAACUCAAAUUUUCGAAAAUUUAUGAGUGAAAAAGGGAAAGAUAUUUUUUUAAUUUUUAAACUUUUAAUGAUGAGAGAGAAAAAUACCAAAAAGACUCAACGCAUGAAAAUUGUGGAUCAAAACAAAUGAUGCAUGCAAGAACACUAUGAAUGUCAAGAUGAACACCAAGAACACUUUGAAGAUCAAGAUGAACAUCAAGACUUAUUUUUGAAAAUUUUUUAGAAAAGAAAAACAUGCAAGACACCAAACUUAGAGAUUUUUCAUGUUUAGAUACUAUGAAUGCAAAAAUGCAUAUGAAAAACAACAAAAGACACAUAACAAGAAAAUAUGAAGAUCAAACAAGAAGACUUGUCAAGAACAACUUGAAGAUCAUGAAGAACACAUGCAUGAGUUUUCGAAAAAUGCACAAAUUUUAAAAAUAUGCAAUUGACACCAAACUUAAAAACUGACACAAGAUUCAAGCAAGAAACACAAAAAUUAUUUUUGAUUUUAUGAUUUUAUAAUAUUUUUUUUUUUGGAUUUUUCGAAAAUUAUUUUGGAAAAACGAAAAAAGAAUAAAUUUUUUUAUAUUAUUUUCGAAAAUAAGAAAUAAAAAGCUUAAAAAUAAAAUAAAAUUACCUAAUCUGAGCAACAAGAUGAACCGUCAGUUGUCCAAACUCGAACAAUCCCCAGCAACAGCGCCAAAAACUUGGUGCGCAGAAAUCGUGACGGUUCCAUUCCUUGGUAACGGCGCUAAAAACUCAAUACGCACGUUCAUAAUCUUAGUUCUUUGUCACAACUUCGCACAACUAACCAACAAGUGCACUAGGUCGUCCAAGUAAUAAACCUUACGUGAGUAAGGGUCAAUCCCACGGAGAUUGUCGGCUUGAAGCAAGCUAUGGUAUAGGAUCCAUUGAUCCUUUUGCGUCUGUCACUAUGCCCAGCACUCGCGAGUUUGAAGCUCGUCGCAGCCAUCCCUUCUCAGAUCCUACUCGGAAUACCACAGACAAGAUUUAGACUUUCCGGAUCUCAAGAAUGGUCGUCCAUGGAUUCUAACUUAUACCACAAAGAUUCUGAUUAAGGAAUCCCAGAGAUACUCAUUCAAUCUAAGGUAGAACGGAAGUGGUUGUCAGGCACGCGUUCAUCGGUUGGGAAUGAUGAUGACUGUCACGAUCAUCCAUUCAUAUUGAAAUGCGAAUGAAUAUCUUAGAAUCAGAAUAAGCUUGAAUUGAAUAGAAAAACGAUAGUACUUUGUAUUAAUUCAUGAGGAUCAGCAGAGCUUCACACCUUAAUCUAUGGUGUGUAGAAACUCUACCGUUGAAAAUACAUAAGUGAUGAAGGUUCAGGCAUGGCCGAAUGGCCAGCCCCCAAACGUGAUCUAAAGAUGAAACUAAAGAUGUAAAUACAAUAGUAAAAAGUCCUAUUUAUGCUAAACUAGUUACUAGGGUUUAUAGAAAUGAGUAAAUGAUGUAGAAAUCCACUUCCGGGGCCCACUUGGUGUGUGCUUGGGCUGAGCAUUGAGCUUUACACAUAUAGAGGCUUCUCUUGGAGUUGAACGCCAGUUUGUAACCUGUUUCUGGUGUUUAACUCCACUUUGCAACCUGUUUCUGGCGUUUAACUCCAGAAUGCAGCAUAGAACUGGCGUUGAACGCCAGUUUGCAUCAUCUAAACUCGGGAAACGUAUGGACUAUUAUAUAUUUUUGGAAAGCCCUGGAUGUAUACUUUCCAACGCAAUUGAGAGCGCACCAUUUGGAGUUCUGUAGCUCCAGAAAAUCCACUUUGAGUGCAGGGAGGUCAGAAUCCAACAGCAUCUGCAGUCCUUCUUCAACCUCUGAAUUUGAUUUUUGCUCAAGUCCCUCAAUUUCAGCCAGAAAAUACUUGAAAUCACAUAAAAACACACAAACUCAUAGUAAAGUCCAGAAAUGUGAUUUUUAUUUAAAAACUAAUAAAAAUAUACUAAAAACUAACUAAAUUAUACUGAAAACUAUGUAAAAACAAUCCCAAAAAGCAUAUAAAUUAUCCACUCAUCAAACACCCGUUGUGGGUCAAAUGAACUUGGAUAUUAGCUAUUACAGUUUUUUUGUUAGUAAUGCAAUGCUAUGUUAUGUAUUACUUAACCAACUUUAAUUUCGUAAACACCUUGCAAAACACGUACAGGGCAAUGCAAUCAUUCAUAUAAAUGAACUGUGAAUUUUUUUUUUUUGGUGCAACAAUACAACACACUUUUUCAUUCCUUUAUCAAUUCUUACAACUUAGAACAGCAAAACUCAACACAAUGACAAUAACACAAAUACACCAUCUUAUUGAGUUUUUUUUCAUCUCUAGAGCUACUAUCCUCUUCUCCAAGCAUGUGAUCUUCAUUUCCAUGUCUUGCUUCCCGUGAUAAUCUUCAACAUCCACAAAUUCCUUCUUUCUCAUAUACUUUGUUUCUAUCAAUCCAAGUCCAACAUCGUGCUCAUCAAGCCACAAAAAAAAAUUUGCAAUACGGUUGUCUUGCCUGCAGCAAAUCAAUCCACAUAAUUCAAAAACAAAAAACUGGUAACCCUAACACAUCUUCAAGCACACCUUCCACACAGUCGGUUACCAUACCUUGUAAAAGGGACAGCCCAGAAACAAUCUGUCCAGAUUGCUUCGCGUCUUCGACAUGAAAAGGAUUGCGUUUUCUCCACAAAAGCACGUUGGUGAGAUGCCAUCUUUGCCAUCCUUCCCGUUAGGAUGCGAGCUCGAGCCGAACUAACCUCCACUUCUUUUCCAACUUGAUAAUACUCCUUCAGAUGCCAUGGAAGGAAGAAUUUCCUUUAUUCCUCUACUCCCCACAACACCCACUUCGCCGUUUCUGUGCAGACGAGGGAUUAGGGCAAAGAAAUUUGAAAAAUUGGGGGAGGUAACGAAACGGCGUCGUUUUCGUCUCCAGGGACUUAUAUGUCCUGUUUUGAAAAGCUCCUUGCCACGUGGGCUCCAUAAUGGCCAGGUCAGCGCCACCUCUGCCAGGUCAGAAUUUUCCGUCCAGUCCAAAUGCCUGAAUUCAACGGAAGGGUCGAAAUGUCCACGUUUUUCGGGGGUGAGAGACUUGAAUGUAUUUUUCCUUCCUUGAGGACAAUAAUGUCCACAAAAAAAGGUCAGGAACCUAUUUGUUCUUUAAUCUUUAAAAUAAUAUCCACCAAUUAAAAGAUAACAAGCUUUCUGCAUCUGACCCAAAAAAAUCAAAUAAUAACCCUUAAUGGACCUUAAUAUACCUUCAGCAAAAAUUAUCAUUGAGUUUUGAUCUGUUAAUAAAAAAUUUGUACUGACUUCAGACUGGUAAAAUUGGGCUUGCCAUUGGCCCACUACAGACCACAAGGGUCUCCAAUGCAUAGCCUCAUUUGUCACCUCUCUCAGAAUUGUAUCUCUUCUCCCCUUUUUCCGGAAAUAGAUAUUUUCAAUUUUUUUUAAUACUUGAGGGAAUAAAGUGUGAUCUCUCACCAUUAAUUUUAUAAGUGGGACUAAAAAUAAAUAUGAGAGAGAGCAAUAAAGGGUUAGAUUAAACAAUUCACGCCAUCCACUUUUUCUCCACUGGAGAGGAUCUGCUCCCCCUUUUCCUCGUGCUCUGCUUCCUUCAUCCACCUUGUUCUAAAUCCAUACUCGUGGUUCCAUGAAAAAAUCGCCACCGCAACUCCAUCCCCCACACAGCUGGCCGUCGCAAGCUCACAUGGGGAACCGGUACUACCUUUCCACUCCCGUCUCUUCGCUGUUCGUUGUUCGCUAUUCACAUGGAGGAAACGGCACUGCUUUCCAGCUCCCUUUGCCACUGCCUGCCGUUGCAGUUGUGUCCUCUGUUUCAGUUCCAAGGGAAGACAGCUGUUAUGAGUGGUGGUGGCUUGGCCACUAACAAAGAGAUGCAACAGACCCAAACUCCACCGGUCACCGCUGUUGUUCUGCCCUCUGUCUUCAUUGACGCUGUUUUCCCCUCCACCGUCGUGAGUUUUCGCUCGUCCAUCGCGGAAGCACCGACCUCGGCGCUGCUCCUAACUUUGUUGUCUUCGCAGAAUCGCCACAGAUCGCGGCCGUACUCAUCAUCUGUGGCGGUCGUCCGCGGGUUCGGCGCCGCCCUUGGAAGAAAUCGCCAAUUGUCCUCGGCCAUAACCGUUUCCUCCAAAUGCACCAAAUGUAGAUCUAGGUGUUCUUCUCCUGUGUGUUCUGGAAUGAGAGGUAAUUUUGAUUGCAGUUCUGGAAUUGAAUUCUAGAAUCUUGCUUGAACUGAAAUUGCUGUUGAUUCUACAGGUUGAAAUUCAAAAUUGAAAGCUAAUUCUUCUUCUUCGGUCAAAUCUGUUGCUUCUUCUUCAUUUUCUUCAAAAAUAAACAAGGAAGAAUGAAUUAUUGCUCGAUUUGCCAGCUCUGUUGAUUUUAUUUUUUGUUGAGGUUGAAUUGUAAAAUUGAAAUCUGUUGCUUCCUGUUCUGUGUAUGCAGAAGUCAUUGCUAAGUCCAAAAGUUUUGGUGCUGCAUUCUUGACUUGUGCAUCUGAUAUUUGUUGAAUUUUCUAUCUCUGAAAUUUCUGCUUCUAGAUUUUGGUUGAAUUGUCUACUUCUAGUUUAUCUAGAAUUGUUAGAUCCAGUGUGUCUAUUGAUGAUUUUGUUGCUGCAUUCUCUAAUUCUUUAUUCUCAUAAAUCGAGUAUGAAUUUUGGAAUUGCAGAACUGGAAUUGAUGAAUUUGCUAUUUCUGAAUUUGUUGAAAUAUUGAUGAUUGGGUGAGAAUCUGAUGCUGAUUUGGCUUGAAUCUAUUGAUUAGCGUUCAAGGUCGCACAAAUUUUGGUGCAAGUUGUUUGAAUUUCUUCAAGUAUCUUGGUACGUUCUUGAUAAUAUGAAUUUAAGCUUUGUAAAUUAGUUUGAAUUUAUCUCAAAUGGAAUCCGCAGAAUUACUAUGAGAGUUUAGUAUGGUGAGAAGAGAGAAUUAGAGAUAAUAAAAAAGAAUAGAAGAAAAAUCUUUAGAAGUAGGACAAAAGAAAAAAAAUAGAAUUUUUAAUUAUAUCAUACAUAUUUCACAUUAUUACAUCAUACUCUUAUUUAUAGUAUAAUUUUCAUUCUCUAGUUGGAUUAGCUCAAUACUAAUCCUAUCAAGAGCACACAACAAAAAUAGGUUGGGAAGCAACCAGUAAGUAAAAAGAGAGAGAAGAGGUUAAUUGAUAAAAAACAAAAACAAACAGAAAAAACAUUUUUUUUUAAAUUAAAAUUAUUUUUAAGGUUAAUUGAUUUUUUUUGAAAUAAUUUGAUGAUUUAAAUUUUAUUUUAGUCGUUACUGAGCUAUUAUGUAUGCUUGUUUCGUUAAUAAUAAACAUCAUCACUGUAUGAAUGUGGUGAUAGCUAGGUAAGGUUAUAUGAGCACCUUCGGUGUGCUCUUAUGGCUUUACCUGUGUUUUGCUACUGCAAAGUUUUAACCACCAUGAAAUAAAAGAUCUUCAAGUAUAUUAUGUUUUAAUUUCUUUGAAAUUAAUGAAAAUCAAACACUUC
RNAcentral lists this long non-coding RNA (45597 nucleotides) under Arachis ipaensis. RNAcentral describes it as "long non-coding RNA (AIPA_LNC001909)". Lineage: Eukaryota; Viridiplantae; Streptophyta; Magnoliopsida; Fabales; Fabaceae. The record is from RNAcentral.